GAGAUUAAGAGGAAUUUUUCGGUCGGGUAAUAUGGCCUCAAAGCAGCCAUAUUCUUCCAGGGCUUCGCGAACUUUGGCCUUCACGAAUUCCCAGGUUUCUGUUUCUUGUUUAAGGUUGGAGAAAUCUAUUACAGGGAGCUUGAUAAUUUCGGAACCCAUUUUUUUUUCUUUUAUAUAUAUUUUAAAUAUUAAUAUACACAUAUAUUUAUAGAGAAUGAAUAUGAAUUGCCUUUUUGUUACUUAUGUAGUAGUAAGCUGCAGGCAGUGUCAACGUUUCUCAAUUUCAAUUGCACCAAAUAUUAGGCCGGGUUAUAUCUUUAUUCAAUUUUUAGCUACAACUAAAAGCCCUAUUUAUCUAACAAUUUAAUGUCUAAAGCUAUUGUUAGGCAGAAAUGAGAAGCGGUUUGUACACGCAACGUAAUUUUACAUCCAUGCACGUUCACCGGUAGGCUGGUAAUUUGACCUUAGCUGAGGGGGUUUCGUAAUUUACCAAAACAAAAUGAUUCAAUUUGUCUUUUUUUUUUUUUUUUUUUUUUUUUUUUAACCUUUUUUUGUUGAACUUACGGGGUGUGGAAUGAUGAAGCUGGAGAAAAGAGUCCGUAGAGUGAUAAAGAAACCGGCGAUUAUCGAAUCAUUCCGUAAAAGGUGAAGUACAACGGACUGAAGUACCUGAUGAACAUAAACAACAAGAAUUGUGUCAUUUUACAUCAAAAAAAAUCCAACACCAGUUGCACAAAUUGCGAUUGAGCCACACGAUCUCGCGUCAGGUGGCAUUGACUAAAUUUCAGAGGGGGGUUCUUCCUAUUUUAUUUAUCAUAGGGGUUUUUUCAUUAUUUCGAGAUUAAACUGGGGUAAUUUUUGCAGUUUACUCUUGCAAAUAUAAACCAAAAUCAAGAUUAAUAAGAGUAGUUAUAUUUCAUGGUUCACCGAACAGAACGGGAACGCCCUCUCUGUUCCGGAUUCCGUAACAAAACCGGUUCCAUGGCAAAGAACGUACCCUUAAGUUAAAUAGAAAUACGAAAAAUCGUAAAUUACACAAACCCUCUGAGGUAUGUCUAAUUACCAAAAAAAUUCCAUUCUUUUAUUUUUCUGGCAAAAUGUUAAAUCAGAAGCCCAUUUUAAGUUACCGUUAUUGCUGCAGAAAAAAAAAAGAAAAAAAAAGAGCCGUUGGUUGCAAUAGAUGGAGAGCUCCCUCCAAAUUUUGAUUCCCCAUUUUUCGGACCCUAUAUUUGUCAAAGAGAGCGGACCCCAAAAUGGGGCAUGUUUUAAUAACUCAGUUGGAAAUUGGAAUUAAAGAAAAAUUUGAUUUCUACCAUCAAAUUGGCGGUUAUUGCAUUUGGGUCCUUGUUUAGGGUCAAUAACAUUGUGGAUGCUCUUAGACAUCCGGUGAUUAUCACUAGGUGUAGCAUCGCAAUAGCCUGCUUCACGUGUACCGAGAAAAAUGGUAGAGAAAAAGAAAGAAAGAAAGAAAAAAAAAAGAAUGAAAAUUAUUUACAAGAAAGCCCAUUAUUUUUCAUAAUUAUAUCCACCUCCCUGCAAUUUGUAGAUUUCUUACAUUAACACCCUUUUGUAGGGGUAAAGAUGUAAAAAAUUUACAAACUGCAAGGGCUGGAUGUAAUUCCUAACAAAUAAGGGGUUGUAAUUUACUCAUAUUAUUAUAACUUUUGCAAUAGAAAGUUCAGAAAUUCAUGAUAACACCUUAUUAACAAAAUACAAACAUAAAUGUUUACAAAUCUCGGGUAAUAUAACGGAGAAUCUCAUGAUGAAAUUAAACAUAAACGGACCAUGCAUAAACUGAUAUAUAUGCUUAUUCGCGAAUACGAAAUACAUUAUUGUUUCGGAAACAAAUUCUCGAGAUUUUAAUUCCUUAUAUUAUCAGACAACGACCCCACAAUGAUCCUUUAGAGCGUUGGGAGAAGUUUUAGUGGCUUCAACGUAGUAAAAAUUAAGAAAUUGAACGUAAUCGUAGGGCUUGUAGAGUAAAGGGUGCUCUUCAUCCACCAUCUCUUUUGGUGCCUUAACUAUGUAUCCCGAUUUCGGAGAGGCAAAUAGUCCGAUCGAGUAUCUAGCUUUGUCUCCGGUCAUCAUCACCCUGUGAAAAGGAGCAUGCACCCGACCAUUUGUCCACGCCUGCGCCAACAUAUAUAUAUGUAACCUAAACCUUACAAAAAAUAAAUUAAUUAACAGUAAAUUGUGAUGUGAAAAAAGAACUUACACGAAGAGAUUCACCCGCCAUGACAAUAAAAGAAUUAGGCGAGGUCUCAAUCCAAUUAUCCCCAUCUUUUGUCUGCAUUUCCAACCCGGUGACGUCGUCUUGAAAUAAUAUGGUGAGGGUAUUCAUAUCUAUGUGGGGUAUGAGUCCAAGCUCAGUCUCGUUCGUUUUAGGACCAUCGUAUUUUUGAACUCGUACCACAUAGUUAGUCGAAUCAAUAUGCUCGUCCAAGUACUUUUUUAUUCCAAUAUUCUCUAACACCAUUGUCCUCACAAUCUUGUUCAAUUCGAGUAACUCCUCCGAAAUCGAUCUUAUGCUCUCGCUUGUCAAUAAACCAAGAUAAAAAAAUAUCAAAAGAAAAAGAAAGAAAAAGGGCUAAAUAGAUACCGUACAAGAUGUAAUUGUUCAAUUAAUUAGUUAUAGUAUAUUAACCAAACAUGUUAUUAAAUUAGCCCCGACCGAUUAGUUUGAACCGUACAUCUGUACACAAUCACACACACUCAUAAGUGUGUGUGAUAAUAUAUGCUUGUACAAGCAUAAUAUAUGCUUGUAUUAUUAAGUAACCUUUAGAAUUAUUUUUGCUUCCUAAAGUAAUUAAAAAAAAAAUCAAGGGCAUUGCCUCCGAACCCCAGCCCCCCAACAAAAACUCCGUGAAUUGGGCCGUGUGUUAUGUGCUUAGUGAGUAGUUAUCUAAUCACAUAGAAGGUUCAAAUCCACUUGAUGUAAAUAAUCAGUUGUAACAUCUAACUUACUGAAUGUAUUAUGUAAUUCGUUUUAUGUAAUUAUUUAAGCGAUCAUGGAAUAUAGCACACUGCCACACACAAUUAAAUUAAACCAGCUAGAGCUAGUUAUUGAAUUAAUAGGAGAAGGAAAUAAAGUACAGUUAAACCUCUAUAAAUUAAUACAGUCGGGACUAACAAAAUUCUAUUAAUUUAGCGAAAUAUUAAAUUAUCGAACUAAUAAUUUAGUAGGUUAUUACCGAAUCUGAACCAGAAGAAACUAUUAUUUAAGCGAGAUUAUUAAUUUUUCGAGGUUCAACUGUAGGUGGUUAUUAAUGGGAUGAUGAUGAAGAAGCGUACCAAAAAGUCGGAUUUCCGUUAUCGGACCACAUUAGUUCGGCAAAGGCUUCGAUGUUUCCGGGUACUAAGGCAUCGUUGAUUGCUAAGCUUUCGUACAGCGGAACAACUGCAUCUUGUCCAAUGUAGCCAUGGUAAGUUGUGUCCGACUUAUUGAGUAGUUUGGUCUGUAGAGGGAGAUCGAAUAGUUGUUGAAGCACAUUAACUAGUGAAUAUUUUCGGUUUGAAAAAAUGGCCUCAAAGCAACCAUAUUCUGCUAGGGCUUCACUCACUUGGGUUUUCACUGAUUCCCAGGUUUCUGUUUCUUGUUUAAGGUUGGAGAAAUCUAUUACAGGGAGCUUCAUCCUACUUUCAGAACCCACUCUCUCUCUCUCUCUCUCUCUCUCUCUCUCUCUCUCGGAAAUGAUGGGGGGUUUUGUUUUGUAGUUUCCAAGUUUUGGUUGAGGUAUUUAUUGAAAAAAUAAUGAGGAAAUUGCAGUUUUCAUCCUUCAAGGUUGCACAAAUUUCACAGUUGGUCUUCUAUGUUCACAAAAAACACAUUUAAUCCCUCAUGUUCCUACAAUUUAAUAUUUUUGGUUAUUUCCGUCAAUUUACAGUUAGUCCGUUAGUUAUGGCAGUGAUGGAACACAUACUUGAUUCCAUUAGUUUUACGGGAGCUUGACGGAAAGGACUAAAAAUAUUGAAUUUGUGAACAAUAAGGGACUAAAUGUGUUUUUUGUGAACAUGGGAGACCAAAUGUGAAAUCGGUGCAAACUUGAGGGAUGAAAACUGUAUUUUUCCCAAAGAAGAAUUUAUGAAUUGUUAGCGUUUCAGCAUAUCUAAACUCGCUUAUUUCACUUUGCACCCUUGAACUUAGGCUAAAUAAUGAAAAAUACCCCACCUAUCCGUAAUAACCAAAAUAUCCCUCUGAUUAACUGUUAAUAAAGUUUUUUAACAGAAAAUAUGUACGGUCUAUUAUACCUUAUGAUAAAUAGGUGAGAAAUAAAAGAAAAUAUAUCAAAUUGUGUAUAGUCUGUUGACUCUGUUCCCUGGAAUUAAAAAAAUUCCGUGAAAAGUCACAUUAUAAGGAAGUUGGUGUAGAACAAUGACAAACUUUAGAGAAUUUUUGGUAAUUGCGAAUAGGUGGAUGUGUUUCCAACUAUUUAGCCUAGGUCCAGGAGGGCUCUCGUAAUCUACCCAAAAUAAAUUUGCACUAUUCACGUGAUCAUUAAUUUAAUUUGAAGAAGUUGACUUUUCAGAAAUUAUUUGGGUUUUCUUAUUUUAUUGUUUUAGACGAUUAUUUAUGGUCUCAUAUCACUGAAAAAUUAAAUGUUUUGUUAUUUUUUAAUAUUAUAACACCCCUUAGAAAGAGUAUAUUUUUUAGCAAUUAAUUGAAUAUCUUAAUUGGUAUAGGGUGGCUCAUUAAAUGGUUACAUGAUGUGGGCGGCGUGUGUUUUUUGGGGACAAUUUGCAAUUAAGUUAAGUUUAUAAAAUUUAUCAUAAAUUAUAAUUUGGCCCUAUUUGUUUUUUGGAUUCAAAUUGGCCUCUAUUUUAUGUAAUUCUGAUUUUAUAUUAUUUUAUUCAGGGGUAGACUUGUCCUCUUACCUUUCGUCAAUGAAUAAAAUCACAAUGGGUCAAGUGUGUUAUUUUAAAAGAAAACCACAGGAAGGAUUUUGCUAGUUUAUUUAUCAUAGGGGGUUUUAUACUAUUUUGAGAUUAUACAGGGGUACUUAUUGCAAAUUACUCAUUAUUACAAAUUAACCCAUUAGUAUUUUCACGCAUGUCUCUGUUUGUUGGUUGCGAUUGAGUUUCCGUAUAUUUAUGUGCAAUCUACGGUUUCCGGACUAAUUGUUUAUCCGACGAUUGGAUUCGAAUGGACAACAACAAAAUUCUUGUUGUUAAUGUUCAUCCAGGUACUUCAUCUGUUGUACUUCACCUUUUACGGGAUGAUGUCGAUUGCCGUGUAACCAAAUCAAAUUGAAUCAUUUUUUUUUGGUAAAUUACGAAAUCCCCUCAGGUAAGGUCAAAUUACCAGCCUACCGGUGAAUGAAUGCGCAUGGAUGUAAAAUUACGUUACGUGUACAAACCGCUUAUCAUUUCUGCCUAACAAUAGCUUUAAACAUUAAAUUGUUAGAGAAGUAGGGCUUUUAGCUGUAGAUAAAAAUUGAAUAAAGAUAUAGCCCGGCCUAAUAUUUGGUGCAAUUGAAAUUGAGAAACGUUGACACAGCCUGCUUAGGGAGAAUUACAUUUUUCACCCCUCAUAUUUGGCUCGAUUCUACUUUCGGUCCUCUUGUUUCAAAGUGAACAAAUUUCACCUUCAAGAUUUAAUUUUAAACACAUUGGUCCCCUCCGUCACAUGUCCAUUUACAUCUAACUGAAAAUACCAUUUUGGGGGCAAAAUUGAAAUUUAAAAUUGUUUUAGGGCUAGAAAUAAAUUAAAAAAUUUAAGUAUUAUUUAUAAUUAUUUUUUUUAGUAAUACUUAGUGUAACAAAAAUAAAUUGAAUAAAAUUUAAUUUUCACAAAAAAAAGAAGAAAAAAUACAAAAUAUAUUAAAUACGAAUACUUAUUGCAACUUACGCUUUGUAACUAUGAAAGUUAUUAGCUGAAUUGUUGGUUAACGUUUCACUAAUCACUAGAUCUAAUCUGAGUGAUAAUUUAAUUCAAAAUAAAAUCAUGUCUCUGUGAAUUAAAGAAUAUGAUUAUUGAUCGCGGAAGCAGGAGACUCGGUUAGUGUAUCGGAUACUUGACGGCCCCGUUAAUUCAACUUUGACAUAAAUAAAAAAAAAAUCAUUAUCCACGCGAUCAUUAAUAUAAUUUGUAGGAGUUGAUUUCCCGAACUACGUGAUAAGCAUUCAUUUUUCACGGCAAGUAUAGCACAGAAACACAAAUGUAAGUUCAAAUAUUGCGACACGUAAUACAAUUUGCGGUCAAAUUAAAUUAUAUUCCACACUAUUUUUGGAUGGCUCCUUCCAUUUUGGCGCCACCUUCCUUGCAAUACUCGACGAACUCCAAAUGACGGAAAGAUUUGAAUUUUAAUGGAUUAUUAUGGUCGACAAGCUCUUUCGGCACUUGCAGAACACCGCCAAUGAAAGAGAAAACUCCGACGGAAUGUUUCGCCUUGCUUCCUUUAGCGACGACUAUGUGUAGUGGGUUAUAUUGUGUUCUAUAUAUGUAUAUAUCGUCGAGAAUCGAAAAAAAUCAUACUGGAGAUAGUGGCGGAGCCGACACUGGGUAGCUAGCCCACCACUCACUUCUUAAAAACCAAUUGUUAUGCAGUUUACUUGUGUCCGAGUAGUGUACUUUGAAGUUGGGAACUGGAAUGUAAUUUUCGAUUUUUGAAAAAUGUUCUUUGCUAUUUAAUAAAUUUAAGGGGUUUUUUUUUUACUAUUUUAUUUAUCACAGGGGAUUUCUCAUUAUUUCGAGAUUACACAGGGGUAGUUUUUGCAGUUUACUCUUCUAAUAAUAUAAACCAAAUCAAGAUUAAUAAGAGUAGUUAUAAUUCAUGGUUCACCGGAACGGUCGGAACAGAACGGGAACGGCCCUCUCCAUUGCGGACUUCGUAACAACCAUUCCACAGCAAAGAACGUUGAGAAACGGGAAAAAAGCUGCCAGAAAGCCGGGACAAUGCGAUAAAUAGGAACGGAAUUGGAACGACAUGAAUCAUCUAAUUUACUGUUAGAGCCGAGAUCCCAGAACACAGUCCCAAUGAUCAGUGUGCCAUGAAGGCGGUGAAGAAAAAACGAACGGCAGUGUAAAAAGGUUGAGACUUGAGAAUAUUGUGUAUGAAAAUAAAGUUCACAGAUCAGAGCUUUGUUCCUCAUGGUAAUAUUUAAAGUUGAUAGAAAAUAAAAAUUAGCGUAAAUUACCGAAAGCCCCAUGAACUAAGGUCUAAUUACCAAAAACCACUCCAACUAACGGUUAAACCAUAUCUUUUGACACAAAACUGUGAAAACUGAAAAGGUCUAUUUAUACCCUUAAGAUAAAUAGAAAUACAAAAAAAUGUUAAUUACACGAAACCCCCUGAGGUAUGUCUAAUUACCAAAAACUGAAUGACUAUUAUUAUAACUUUUAAAAUAUUAGAAAGUUCAGAAAUUCAUACAACACCUUAAUAAUACAAUACAAACAUAAAUGAUUACGAAUCUCGGGUAACAUAACAUAGAAUCUCAUGCUCAUGAUGAAAUUAAACAUAAACACACCAUGCAUGAACUGAAAUAUAUGCUUAUUCGCAAAUACGAAAUACAUUAUUGUUCCGAAAACAAAUUUUCGAGCUUUGAAUUCAUUAUAUUAUCAGACGACUCCACAAUAAUCCUUUAGAGCGUUGGGAGAAGUCUUACUAGCUUCACCGUAGUAAUAAUUAAGAAACUCAACGUAAUCGUAGGGUUUGUAGAGUAAGGGGUGCUCUUCAUCCACCAUCUCUUUUGGAGCCGUAACUAUGUAUCCCGAUUUUGGAACGGCAAAUAGUCCGAUCGAGUAUCUAGCUUUGUCUCCGGUCAUCAUCACCCUGUGAAAAGGAGCAUGCACCCGACCAUUUGUCCACGCCUGCGCCAAUUAAUACAUAUAUAGGUUAGGUUGCCAUAUAUAUAUAUAUAUAUAUAUAUAUAUAUAUAUAUAUAUGGUAAAUUACUCCCACACCAAUGAGGUAUUCUUUAGGUCCCUAUGGUAUCGAUAAUUACACUCACCCCCUGAAACAGAGUUAGAAACUCUAAUGAAUGGACUAUUACUUUUAGCUAGUGGCGGGCACAACAUAAAGUUAGGGGGUGACAUGGCUCUCCCAACAUUUCUUAAAUUAUCCAAUAUAGUUGUUUGUUGUCUCCACCACUUCCUGAAACUAAUUAAUAGUCUGUUAGAACUAUAUCGGAAUAACGUAUCCAAUGCAUUCUCCCAGUAAAGUUUCUAACUAUGCUUCAGGAGGGUGAGUAUAAUUAUCGAUAACACAGGGACCUUAAAGUUAUGUAAACAUAUCUCAGGGGUGUGGGUGUAAUUUACUAUAUAUAUAUUACGGUAAAUUGCGAACACCACCUAAGUAUUUAUGAAAUUAAAUUGACUUAUUCAGUUAAUUAGGUGAAAUAAUGUAGCGAAAAAAUAACUUACCCGGAGAGAUUCACCCGCCAUGACAAUAAAAGAAUUAGGUGAGGUCUCAAUCCAAUCAUCUCCAUCUUUUUUCUGCAUUUCCAAUCCGGUGACGUCAUCUUGAAAUAAUAUGGUGAGGGUGUUCAUAUCUAUGUGGGGUACGAGUCCAAGCUCAGUCUCGUUUGUUUUAGGACCAUCGUACUUUUGAAAUCGUACCACAUAGUUAGUCGAAUCAAUAUGCUCGUCCAAGUACUUUUUUAUUCCAUUAUUCUCUAACACCAUUGUCCUCACAAUCUUGUUCAAUUCGAGUAACUCCUCCGAAAUCGAUCUUACGCUCUCGCUGGUCAAUAAACAAAGAUAAAAAAUCUCAAAAGAAAAAAGAAAAAGAAAAAAGGACUAAAUCGAUACCGCACAAGAUGUAAUUGUUAGAUUAGUUAUAUAUAGUAUAUUAACCUAACAUGUUAUUAGCCAUGAACCGUAGUUCUAUACACAAUCACACACUCAUGUGUAUGCAGGGGCGUAACUAAAGGCACCCCAAGGGAGGCAGCCGCCCCUCCAGAAGAAAAAAAUGAUUUAUUUUUAUUAGUUUUUGAUUGGGUAAUUGGCAUUUGCACCCUCCAAUUAUGCUUAUUUGGCACUUUGCACCCUUACAUUAAAAAUAUGGUCGAUAGCACCCUCAAAUUAAGAUUUGCUUGGCACAUUGUACCUCAAGACACUUUUCUGCUAAAAUUUGCGUACGAAAAAAUUAUUUUACCAUAAUUCAAUGGGCAAAAUGGUCAACUAUUGUUAAUUAAAUCCGUGAAAGAGAAAAAAUAUAAAUAUAUUCUGUAAUUAAAAAGGAUGGUAGUUAAUUUAUCCACAAAUUUACCCUUUCAGUUCCCUAAAAUCUUUUUAUUCUACUAUAUUAGAUUAUGGGGUGCACUAUAUGGCAGGUAACGCAAUCUGUCACAUUUUUAAUUUGAGGGUGCAAAAUGACAAAUGAGUAUAAUUGCAGGGUGUAAAAUACCCACUUAUAAUGCAUGAUUUUUAAAUUGAAGGAGUUUUAAUGAUGAUAUAUAAUUAUAUAUAUAUAUAUAUGCUUGUAUUAUAUUAACUAAACUUUAGAAUUAUUUUUGCUUUCUAAAGUAAUUCAAAAAAAAACGGGGGCACUACCCCGAACUCCCGUAAACCGUAAAUCACACCCCCCCCCCCCCUAACAAAAACUCUCUGGAUCUGCUCCUGUGUAUGUGUGCUAGGUGAGUAAUUAUUUAAUCACAUAUAGGUUCAAAUCCACCCGAUAUAAAUAAUCAAGCGUAACAUCUAACCACCACCUACCCAAACCCGUCCAGAGCUCAUUUUAUAAUUAUUGAAACGAUCAUGGGAAUAUAUAUAUAUAUAUAUAUAUAUAUAUAUAUAUAUAUAUAUAUAUAUAUAUAUAUAUGCACACGCAAUUAAAUUAAACUAGCUAGAUCUAGUUAUUGAAUUCAUACGAGAAGGAAAUAAUGUAGCAUAUUAAUUGGAUGAUGAAGAAGUGUAGCGUACCAAAAAGUCGGAUUUCCGUUAUGGGACCACAUUAGUUCGACGAAGGCUUCGAUGUUUCCGGGUACCAAGGCAUCACUGAUUCCCAAGCUUUCGUACAGCGGAACAACUGCAUGUUGUCCGAUGUAGCCAUGGUAAGUUGUGUUUGACUUAUUGAGUAGUUUUGUCUGUAGAGGGAGAUCGAAUAGUUGUUGAAGCACAUUAACAAGUGAAUAUUUUGGGUUUGAAAAUAUGGCCUCAAAGCAACCAUAUUCUGCUAGGGCUUCGCUCACUUGGGUUUUCACUGAUUCCCACGUUGCUGUUUCUUGUUUAAGAUUGGAGAAAUCUAUUACAGGGAGCUUCAUCCUACUUUCAGAUCCCAUUCUCUCUCUCUCUCUCUAGAUAUCUCUCUCUCUCUCUCUAGAUCUCUCUUGGAAAUUCUCUCCCUCUCUUGGAAAUGAUGGGGUUUUUGUUUUGUAAGUUUUCCAAGUUUUAGUUGAGGUAUUUAUUGAAAAAAACAAGAAUUAUUAAUUGUCAACGUUUCAGUACUAGAUUUAAAUCAUUUAAUUCCACUUUGCACCUUGAAAUGUAACAUUUUGACACUAUGUAUCACUGGAAAAAAUAUUGAUAGCACUUUACGUUUUCGAAAAGCAAUAAAUCAUUCAGAACCAUGAAUUGAAGAUUUAAAACUCAAUGAGGAUAAAAAAAAAAUUAUUGGUUUUUUUUUGUCAGGAUGCAAAAUAAUAAAUUAAAUGAAAGAAUAUGUAUAAUUUUCAAAUAACUUAAUAACAAAAUAGCUGACAGAUUAUUCUUUUGUUCUUUUGUGUUUGGCUGUAAUAUAUUUUUUUGUGAUUUUCUUUUUUUAAUGUUUUGAUCCUAUCGAAGGAUUGAGGAAUAUUAAAUUGAUUUGAAAUUUUGUAUCCUAAAAAACACAAAUAAAAUAUCAAAUUACAUCAAUUUACUUUAAAAAUUCAUUUGGGGUGCAUUACGCAUAAUUUAAUAUGUUUUGAGGGUGCAAAAUGUUAUUAAUAUUUUUUAAGGUGCAAAGUGUCAAAGACUAUAUUUCAAGGGUGCAAAAUGGAAUUGAAUGAAUCUAAAGCUUUAAUUUAAUUUAAAAUUAACGUUAUUUGUGAAUAAUGUGCAUGAUGAUUGAUCUUGGAAGCGGAAGACUCGGCGUGAAUAAUUCAAUUGUAUGUAAAAUAAUAAUUUUGCACUAUUCAUGUGAUCAUUACUUUAAUUUGAAGAAGUUGACUUUUCAGAAAUUAUCUGUUUUUGUUUUUUCUUUUUUUUUUUUGUUUUUCUUUUUUGUUUUUUAUAGAAGAUUAUAUAGGUUCCUUCGACCCUACACUCGGUGAUAAACACCGGGUGAGUCUUCUGCUGCCAUGUGUUCUUUUUUUAUUUUUCUAAAACCCCUAUAGGUAAACCCUAGCGGGGAAUCUAUUAAAAAAUACAAAAAAGAGACACGUGGCAGCAGAAGACCCACCCGGUAUUUAUCACCGAGUGUAGGGUCGAACAAAUUGCGAUUGAGUCACACAAUCUCGCGUCGGGGGCAUUGUGCCAUUGACUAAAUGUAAAAUGACACAAUUAGCCCUCUCUCCUCUCCUCUCUAUCUCCUCUCGUCUAUUAAUCAUCUUCAUCUCCACCUCACCUCUGCAUAAUCUCCUACGACGGCAGCAACAAUGGCGGCGACAGUGGUGAGUAGAAGAACGGCAAAAAAGGUGGCUCAUCACCAUCGUCGACAGCGCCAGUGUUGGAGAGUAAAUGGUUCUAUUUUAUGUUAUUCUGAUUUUAUAUUAUUUAUUCAAGGGUAGACUUGUCCUCUUACCUCUGGUCAACCAAUAAAAUCACAAUGGGAAGUGUGUUAUUUAAAAAAAAUCACAUGAGGGAUUUUGCUUGUUUAUUUAUCAAUGGGAGUUUUAUAAUAUUUUAAAAUUAUACAGGGGUACUUAUUGCAGUUUACUUUUUGUAAUUAUGAAAGUGAUUAGCUGAAUUGCUGUUAACGUUUCCCUAAUCACUAGAUAUAAUCUAGGUGAUAAUUUAAUUUCAAAUAAAACCAAAUCUUUGUGAAUUAAAAAAUAUGAUUAUUGAUCGCGGAAGCGGGAGACUCGGUGUGUAUCGGAUACUUGACGGCCCCGUUAAUUCAACUUCGACAUAAAAACAAAUCUUCAUUAUCCACGCGAUCAUUAAUAUAAUUUGUAGGAGUUGACUUUUCGAGCUACACGAUAAGCAUUCAUUUUUCACGGCAAGUAUAGCACAGAAAACACAAAGGGAAGCACAAAGUUCACCCGCUCACACAAAUCACACACACCCAAAGUGUAACUUAAAACAAUAAUACAUACUGCAGUCAAAUUAUGAAUUAUAUUCCACAGUAUUUUUGGAUGGCUCCUUCCAUUUUGGCGCCACCUUCCUUGCAAUACUCGACGAACUCCAAGUGACGGAAAGAUUUGAAUUUCAAUGGAUUAUUAUGGUCGACGAGCUCAUCUGGCACUUGCAGAACACCUCCGAUGAAAGAGAAAACUCCGACGGAAUGUUUCUCCUUGCUUCCUUUAGCGACGACUUUGUGGAGCGGGCUAUAUAUUCUUCCAUUGCUCCAUGCCUUGCCAAAAGUUUUCAAAUUAUUACUAUUCAUUUUUGUUAUUAAAUUUAAUUUUAUACAUGUAUAUAUCGUCGAGAAUCGAAAAAUCAUACUAUGUUCGCCGGAAGGAGAGCAGCGGUCAGCUAUAUUCAAUUAUUUUUGGAAAAAUUGCAAAUCAGUCUCUGACUUAAGGAAGAAGAAGGCAUUUUUUAAAAUAGAAGGGACUGCAUUAAAAAUGCUGAAAACUUCAUUUUGGUGCUUAUUUAUGAAAUUUCUAAUCAAAAGGGUAUUCAAGUCUUUUUAAGAGUGUAUUGCACGAUCAACUCACAGGGACCUUGUUGAAUGUGACUAACUUUUAUAGGGGGUCUUUACUAAUUUGUUUAAUAUGGGGGUAUUUUCAGCAAUUAGAGAUUAAACAGGGGUGGUUAGUGCUAAAAACUCAAAAUUAAAAUUGAGGAAUCUCACCAUGAAUGGUUCACCUGCAAUGACAAUGAAUUUUCCAAGAGAUGGCUCAUAAUCAAUCCAAUCACCACCACGAGUUUCGAUCUCCAAACCUUUGACUUCGUUUGUCCCGAUUACUGUAAUAAAGCUCUUGUCCCUGUGAGGUACAAUACCAAUACUGCACUGGUUCUCGCCCGGCGAGUUGUACCUCAUGAGCCGCGUCAUGUAGAACGACGACUCCAUUAGCGGAUCGUAGUAUUUUUCCAAACCGUAGCUGUCGGCCACCAUUUUAACAACCGUUUUGUUCAAUUCCGACAGCAAUUUACAGUACGAGUAUAUUGUCUCACUGUAAAAUGGAGAGAAAUAAUGUUAGUUAUGUAAAAAAUACAAACAUAUCAACAAACAUAUUUUAUACACCUUCACGUACAGGCGUAUUACAUUUUUAAAGUCUUACACGUAAAUCUUUUUUUACGGGUGGAAAUAGAAUUCUAAUCUAGGACCAGACCAUCAUUUGGCCGGGUUGACUUUCAUACCACGUUGAAUAACUAUUUUAUCUAAAAACUUAAGGUGGUAGUGAGGUAAUUAAUCACUCUUUCGGUGAAAUAUAUCGGGUGAUUAUUAAACCGUUGAUCUGCACAUAUCCAUGUGUAUGUGUACUUAGUGGGUGGCUAGUUCACCCCAUCAAUGGUUAAAAAUCACCCGAUGAUGCGGUGUGGCGUCUCAAUGACCAUUUAAUGAUAUACUUUAUUUAUAUUAAAAAAAAUCUACAGAAUAGAAUAUAUAGUAAAUUACGGCAACCCCCUGAGGUGAAGUCAAAUUACGAAAAAAAGCCCUCAUGUUUGGGUAAUUACAACCACCCUCAACUAUGAAUCUUUACACGUUCAUCCUUAUGGUAUCAAAUUCAACAUAAUCUUCUAGAUCCUGUAAAAUGUUCUCUAGUUUGUACUCGUUUUGUGCAAAAAUGCAGUUUCUGAUGCAGCACAAUCUGAUAUUUACAAGGCAAGAGACACAUCUUACGAUCAUCUUAGUUCAAAAUGUGGAGUUCGAAUGGGGUAAAACAGGUACAAACUAGAGAAUAUUUUACAUAAUUAAGAAGAUUCCACUAAAUUUGAUAGUACAACGGUGGACGUGUAAGAAGAUUCAUAGUUGAGGGAUGGUUAAUUACCCAAACAUGCGUGAUUUUUUUCAUAAUUUGACCUUACCUGAGGGGGCGACCGUAAUUUACCCUAUACACUAUAUGUAUAAAGGGGUGAAAUAUAUGUAUAAAAAAUGAAGAAGAAUUAAUAUUUACCAGAAUUUAUCAUGGCCCUGAGACCACAUGAGGGUGGUGAAUUUUUGUGCAGCAUCAAGAGUUGCAACAUCUUCAAUCCCAAAGUAUUCAAAGAGCGGCAUAACCGAAUAAUUCCCACCGUAACCGAAACCUGCGAAUUUCGAAAUGUGCUUCUUUUUAGUUUCAAGUGGGAGACCAAACAGCUCCUCCGACAGGCCGCCGUCGAAAAUCUUCGCGUGCAGCUCCGAACCGAUGUUGCUCUCGUAGGAUACCACAAAACAUCCGUACAUUUCCAGGGCUUGUCGGACCAAAUCCGAGGUUGAUUUCCAGGGAUUUGUGCCAGGUGUCAUGUUUUCUUGGUUGAAUUCUAUUGUGGGGAGCUUAUUAGAUUGUUGAUCAAGAGAACCCAUUGUAUAAUGAUUGACUAUAUUUCUUGAUCAGGGGUUUGGUUUAAUUUAGAUUAAUGCUUCUGAUUGUGUAAUAUUGUCAUCAUACUUAUAAGGAGAUUUGAUGUUAUUAACAUAUAUAAUCUAUAUAUUAAUAUUUACCAGAAUUUAUAUUUGAUGUUAUUAACAUAUAUAAUCUAUAUAUUAAUAGACUUUUGAAUUGAUUAUAAUGAGUCAAUGACUAGUUGAGUAUGAUUAUGAUUAUGAUUAUGAUUACUUGUCUUUAGUGAUAAAUCAUGUCUACUAAUUAAGUAAGACUUGUCGCAUUUCAAAAUUAAUUACAUAUUUUAAAGAACUGAUACUAAUCUAUACUACUAAUAAAAGUGGGAAUAAUACGGUGGUUUCUUCCAUUUUUUGGUUGUCCUAAAAUACCCUCUAAAACAACCAAUAGCUAAAGGACACAUCAAGGGUAAAAAUAAACUUCUACCUUAUAAUAAUAAUAAUAAUAAUAAUAAUAAUAAUAAUAAUAAUAAUAAUAAUAAUAAUAAUAAUAAUAAUAAUAAUAAUAAUAAUAAUAAUAAUAAUAAUAAUAAUAAUAAUAAUAAUAAUUAUUAUUAUUAUUAUUAUUAUUAUUAUUAUUAUUAUUAUUAUUAUUAUUAUUAUAUAAAAUAAUUGGCAAAUAAUUCAAUUAUCUUAUUAAAAAGAUAAUAUGUUAAAAUUGAAUAAAUAUUGUCUUCCAUUGGUAACAUAGAUGUACUAACAUAUAAGCUAUUUUUUAUUGACCAAAUAAAAUUUACCAAAAACUAAACAUUAUAUUAUUGAACAAAAAGACUAAUAAAGAACUGUAUAUACACACAUAUAGAUAUUGAAAAAUAAUAAUUGCAAAAUAUUAUUAAAAAAAUCAAUGCUUUCCAAGAAAUCAAUGAAUAAUAAAUUGUAUUCUUAAUUAUUUAAAUAUAUUUUAAUUCAUUAAUUUCUUCAAGUAUCUGAUUACUCAUAAUAUCUAAAUAUAUAUUUUUAAUAUAUGUCUAAUAAUUUAAUUUUAUUUACUUUUCAAUUUUAUAUAAAGAAUAAGAAUUAGUUUUUAUGUUAUUUAUUGUAUCGAGGAAAGAUAAUAUUUAAAUUUUAAAUAUAUUACAUCGACUUUUUAAUUGAUUAAAUUUAUAGCAUCAUUUUUCGAUUAUUUUUAUCCAAUAAAAAAUGAGAUAUAUAUAUUAAGGGUAUUAUUAUAUUUUAAAUGAUACUUUAAGGGGUAAGUGUUACAUUGGUUAGAAGUUGGACAAUCAUCAAAGAUAAAUACGAUUAAUUAUUAUACAGACAUGAAUAAAAGUAAUUGACUUCGUUUAGGAAUUGAUAAGAAUUUGGACAGUCAGCAAUUAAAUAUAUAAAAAGGAGAAUGAUGCAACAUUAUUUCCUCUUGCUCCAUUCGUUUAUAUUCAUUUGAUAGAAUAAUAAUUGUUAAACUGUUGUAUUUAGAUCUUCGCUCGGUAAUUGAUAAAUAUCUUCAUGCAUCUUAAAGUGGAACAUAUAAUUUCAUCUUCUAUAAUCAUUAAAUUUAAGUUUGGACAAAUAUAUCUCAUUCAAAAAGUUAUUUACAUCAUCGAUAUGCACUAUCACUUUCUACUAGACUUUUCUAAAUUAUAUCUAGCAUUUGGUCGAAUGGAUUAAAUUUAGUUGAAGAUUAUAAAUAGAAAGUUCGGAUGAUAAUAAAUUUCGUACUGUAAGUUGAAUUCGACUUUUAAUUUCUAUGUUGCUACCAUCUAUAUUACCGGUUUCUGAUGUUGCUGGGGAUGAUAGGAAUUUUAAAUUCCAUAAUCUAUUUUAAAACAAAAGACUUGGAUGAUAAUAAAUUGCAUUAUGCAAGUUGAAUUUGACUCUUAAUUUCUAUGUUGCAACCAUCUGUAGUACUGGUUUCUUAUAUUGCUGGGAUGGGGAUCUUAAAUUCCAUAGUCUAUUUAAAAAGAUUUAUUGCAUUCAACAUUACUUUAUUUUUAUUUUUUUUGUUGAAAAUUUCUUUAGGUUAUUUUAUUGGCAUCAACUUCCUUAUAAUUAUUUUUUUUUAGUUUUAUAAAAGCGAGAAUGUCGAGAGGGGUUUCUUCUAUUUUUUUAUGGACAAAAUACACUUGGAAUUAAGUUUGUAAAAUAAUUCAGUAAAUACAAAUCAAUUAGCAAAUAGAAAUUAAUUAGCUAGCAUGAACAUGAAUACAGUAACCGACAUGAUGGUGUUUUGUUUGAUUCAAGGGUACAAAAAGAACACCUUUCGCUUAGAGAGGUUUUCAUAAAACUACCAUUUAAGUGGCUACUUAGAGCGUAUAUAGGGGAAGAAGAAGGUCUUAUAGGACUAACUGAAAUUUCAUGUAAAUAGGGACGUAAAAAAAAUAUUGCGUAAACAAAUUAAAAACUUCCAUUCGUAGAGUGUAUUGUUCGAUUUCAAAGCAAAUCUUCAAGUGACUACCAUUCAAGUCUUAUAGGAUUGAGUGAAAUUCUUACAUUGAGUCAAUAAUUGAAGGCUCAGUUCAGUUACUACUUGCAUUUAAUCAUACUUUCAUAAUUUCUUUUGGAUAAUUAUUUUUGAAGUAGACUCAUCUAAUUAUUUAUUCAUAAAAUUAAUUUUCUGUUAUUUAAAGAAAAACUUGAAAAAUAAUUUAUAAUCCAUGUAAUAAAGGGAUUUAAAUAAAGACUAAUAAGUAAUAACAUCUCAAUUGUAAAUGUAUGCCUAAUAUAAGUUCAUUUUGUUAUUCUUGUAAUAUGUGUACGUGUAUGUGUAUCUGCAGUGUAUUCAUAACGAUUUUUGCACAGAGAGGGUAUAAUUGAUUUUGUCUCUAAUUGUUUCUAAUUUAGUUUUUAGAUAAAUCACCAUGUUAAAUAAAAACAAAUAGAAAUAAAAAUAAUUGAUCGUAUAAAAUUAUUUUGACUAAAUAAUGCAAAUCGCUUAAAUAAAUGACGAUGCUAGAAUUUCCAAAUACGAGUGUAAACAAAAGUUGGUUAGUUCGAAGAGGAAGAAUAAUAAAUAUUACAAUAAUAUAUAACUUUAUGUUACGAAGAGAAAUCACUUAUGCAAAUUCAAGAACAAAUAUAAAGAUUUGUUUUAUUUAUUUUUCUUUGGAACUAUGUGCCAACUCAAGAUCAAGCAAAAUAAUAUGACAACAAAAUUUACAUUCAAAAAAUAAAAUCGAAAUUGUACAAUUUUUAAUUAUAUAUAUAGUGUUAGUGGAAUAAGCUUCAGUAUUUAUAAUUUUAUUAAAUAUUUUUUAUAGUACCGCUAUUAAUUUUAAUCGAAUAAAUUAUUAAUUAAUAAAUAUAUAAAUAAUUAAUGAAGAUCAUGAACCACGUGCAACGCACGUGUCACUUACUAGUAUAUAAAAUAGGGCAAAUUGCAUAUCACCGUACCCCCUGUAAAUUUCUAUUUUUUGCACUUUAUCCUCUCAAAAAUUUUAAAAGUGAAUGCCCCUCUUCAAAAUGUUAUUUUUGUUGCACAUUGCCCCUACAACAAAACUCUGAUGGAUUAUUCAUCGGAAGUGAGUAUUUUUGUGCACGUUGCCCUUAUAAAUGUUAUUUUUGUUACAUGUUGCUCCUUAAUAACACUAUUUUUUCCACGGUGUCCCUUUAAAAUAAUAUGUUUGUCGCACAAUGCCCUCCAAAAAUUGGCUUCUGGGGCAAUGUGCAACCAAAAUAGUAUUUUGCAGGGGAAGUAUCCAUUUUUUGAAUUUUUAGGGGGGAAAGUGCAAUAAUGUGAAAUUUAUAGGGGGUGAAGUGCAUUUUUUCCCAUAAAAUAUAAAAUAGGGUUCAGUACAUAUAGUUUGCACCCAUGUACUUUCAUCACUGUCGCAUAUACACCAUAUAUUAUGAAAUGUGACAAAACAACCCCUGUCGUCCAUCUCUGUUACAAAAGUUGUCCUUUUUUAAUUCUUGACUGACCGUUGUACUAGACGUUGGAAAAUUUUAGACCAAAAUACCCAUUUGAUUAUGUAUAAAAGGUGUGCAUCAUUCUUCACUCGUUUGUACUCAAUUUCUUCCUAAUUUUUGUUCCCAGCCCUUUAUUUUACCCAAAAUUUCUGAACAAAUUUUACAUUCGAGAAAUUGUUUUUGACUUCUUUUUAAAUUUAUAAAUAAUUGCUCGAUUUAAAAAUGUUUUUCCGAUAGUUCAAAUUCUCAAAAUUCAUGCUUUAGGUCCAAAGAUAACAUGUCAUAAAUAACACUUCAAGCUUUUCAUUAUCAUUAUAAUACAAUACGUACAUUAGAUACAACCAGUUCAUACUCCAAGUUCAAGCCUGGUAGAUAAAUACAUAAUUUGCCCGAAAUUAAUAAUAUAACAACACCCUCCAUCAAAUCAAUACAUUAAAACAUACCAAAUUAAACAUAAAAUAAAAUAACAUAUUAAUUAUAUAUAAAUCUCAAAUUCCACAAUAAUCCUUAAUAGGACACUUUGAUCUCUUGCCCUCCUCAGUGUAAUAGAAGUGGAUAUAUUUGUAAUGAUCAAACGGCUUAAACCUCGACGGAUUAUCGUCGUCAACUAGCUCCUCGGGCACUUGUAUUUUAACAUCCUUAAUAAACGUAAACAGCCCGAGCGAGUAUCUGUCUUCACUCCCCUCAUCGAUUAUCACACGAUGCUUCGAAGGUUCAAUCCUGCCGUUAGUCCACGCCUACACAUAAAAAAUAAAAAUAAAAAUAAAAAAAUUAAAAAAAAAGAGUUACGUUGGUUCGAUUGGUUCGACCGUUCAUCCACUCAACGCAUUUUGUUUUUUUAAUGGAUGAACAUUCAGACACUACUAUCUGAUGUAUUUCACUUGAUGUAGCAUCAGUUCAGUUUGCUGUGUGAGUGGGGGGGCCCACAUAAGUAUAUGACUUUGAUUUAAUUUGAUAACCCCCAAAUUAAAAUCUGAAUUAAAUUACAAAAGUAAUAUAUAUGUAUUUAUUAGGGGAUUGCAUGUAUAUACAUAUAUACAUACCAUACAAGCGUCGCCCGCCAUGACUACGAAAUAUGAAGGCGAUGGAUCGACAAGUAACCAAUCGCCAUUUUUUGUCUGAAUUUGGAGGCCCUUCACUUGGCGUUGGUGAAGAAUGGACAUAAAGCUCUUGUCGGUGUGAGGCACGAUACCUAGACCUGUUUCGUCUUUUCCCGGCGCUCGGUAUUUUAUGAACCGAAGAAGGUACGAGGUUGCUCCGACCAAUGAUUGGUAGCUAUCCUCAAUUCCGUAAUUCUUGGACACCAUUCUCAUCACCUCUUGCUCUAGUUCCGCCACUAGCCUCGAGUAUUCAAGUGCAGUUUCACUUUUUCAACAAAACAAAACAAAAGCGAAAAUUACAAAAAAAAAAAAAAAAAUAAAUUCUAGUGUUAAAAUUACCAUUUUACCCUUUUUAUGGUUGGCUGCUGAUUCCUUACGAAAUCAAUUAAAACUUCAGUAGAUACGUAUAUAAGGAAAAUAGUAAAAAUUGCGAAAUACCCGAAAUGGUGGUUUCCGGAGGGCCACAAGAGAGACGUGAAAGUCUCGACUCCAGUGUGAGUUGUUGCGUUCUCGAUACCGAGACCCUCGUACAACGGGAUUAUGGGCUCUUGCCCGACGUACCCGUGUGACGGGGUUCCGGAGGUGUUGAGGAUUUUGACGUCCGUCGGAAGAUCGAAGAGUUGUUCGGAAACGCCGAAAAUGGAUCGGUGCAUCUCCGGCGAGAAUUUGCUAUAGGUUGCGAUGAAGCAACCGUAGUCUUCGAGGGCAUGGACGACUUUUUCCGCGGUGGUGAACCAAGAUGGUGAACCGGGCUCCAAGUUUUUCUCCGAGAAAUCUAUUAUUGGAAGAGUAGGAUUUUCCAAAGAACCCAUGAUUGGUGGUUUUUUCUUUGUUUUUUUUUUAAUUUAAAUUUGUUUUUUUCUUUUUAAUUUUUGUGUUGGAUGAAUGAAAGGUGAGAUAGGAACUGAUAUAGCGAAGAUAUCUAAUUUUUCCAAGAUUAAUCAUGCACUGCAGCUAAUUAAAUUAUGUCUAACAAUAGUAAAUUAAUUAAUUGUUGGGUAUGUUAUUGUCUAUGAUUAAAGACAACUGUGUAUUCGUUAGACGAACUAAUGAAUAUAAAAUAGGGUAAAUUCCACUUUUCCCCCUUAUACUUUGCUUCAUUAUCACUUUACCCCCUUCUACUUUCGAUUGCAUCAAUUUGCUCCCAUGUAAUUAAAAAUUUGUCUGAACGUGGCAUUUGCAAGUUUUCAAUCCUUUGACCUUAACACCGUUUGGUCUAAGGUCUGAAAAUUACAAAAAGGUCAGAGCUUAGAGGGGUGACGUUUUUGUAAUCUUAGAUCUUAGACCAAACGGUGUUAAGGAAAGAGAGUGGAGUUGACUCAGUUGAUUUAUGUGAAUCGAAAGGAAAGAGAGAAUUGACGCCAUUUUGAAUUUAAAAAAAAAGGGCAAAAUACAGUUUUGGUCCCUCAUAUUUGCACCGAUUUCACAUUUGGUCCACAUGUUCACAAAAAAUAUAUUUGGUCCCUCAUGUUUCAAAACUUCAACACUUUUAGUCACUUCCGUCAAUUUUUCAUUAGAACUAAUGAAAUCAAGCGUGUGCCCAUGGCAUCACUGUCUUAACUGAAGGAGUAACGGUAAAUUGACGAAAUGACCAAAAGUGUUAAAUUAUUGAAACACGAGGAACCAAAUGUGAAAUCGGUGCAACCUUGAGCGAUGAAAACUGGAAUUUUCCCAAAAAAAUAUUUAAAAAUGACGACAUUUUGUUUAAUGCAAGAGUAAUUUUGACGUCGUAAUUGUCGGAUAUUUAAAGCAAAAAGCCGAAAACCAAAACAAGAUCGAGGCGUACGUAUUACCAACCCAAGAUUACUCUAUGAUGGUAACGGGAUUUGAAAGAUCAUCAAUCUAUAUUUUGUGUUUUUUUUAGCGGAUAAUAUUUGUUAAUAAUAAUAAGAGUUUUUUUAGCACCAACCAGCUCUGUGUAAUCUCUAAUUGCCAAAAAAAUUCUCGUGUUCAGCAAAUUAUCAAUAACCCUCUAUAUUAUGUUUUGCAAGGCACACUGCCCCUUACUUCAAAAUUGUUUGUUGACUUACGUCAAAUGACAAAACUAUCCUAAUAAAUACUAAACAAUAAUUUAAUUUUAAAUAAAAUAAAUGAAAAAAAAAAAACAAGAAGGAAACCCUCUUCAGCCUUGCGCUCUCCCUGAACACCGAUUUGGUGUGGUUAAAAAGCUCUAAAACAUGGGCGGAAAAGCUCCAAACCGAAUCGAAUUUCGUCGGAGAAAAUGUUGGAGUGGUGGUGCGGAAGGGGGAUAUGGUUGAAGCGGAGGCUGAGGGUACAGAGGAAGGUGAGGCUGGAGAGGUGUUUUCUUGAAGGAGAGCGGUGGCUCAGCUAUGUUAGUGUAUUUUAGGAAAAUUACAAAUCAGCCCUUGACUUAAGGAAGAAGAGGGCCUUUUGAAAAUGGAAAUUACUGAAUUGAAAAUUUUAAAAACUUCAUUUUGGGGUUUAUUUGCAAAAAAAUUAAUUUAAAAAGGGUAUUCCAGACUUUUCAGUCAAAAAAUCAACCCCCAGCCGCAUUUGUGGCGAGUGUAUUGCACGAUCAAUUCGCAUGGACCUUGUUGACUUUGACUAACUUUUAUAAGGGGGUAUUUGCUAAUAUUUUUAAUACAUGGAUUUUUAUGGCAAAUAGAGAUUACACAGGGACGGUUAGUGCUAAAAACUCUAAUAAUAAUUGAGAGAAUAUUUGUUAAUUAUAUCAUGAUGCAAAGGUGGUCCAAAAAUUUAGAUUAUUUGAGAGGUAUAUUUUUGUACUUUUCCUAUUUUUCUUUAAUUUCACGGGCCAUCACGGGUUUACUUAAUUAACAAUAAUUAGCCACAUGGAAAUAAUAAUGUGGAUCAAAUUUUGAAUGAUAAGGAACGAAAGUUUUGUAGAUGCUACACUUGGUGAAAUAUAUCGGUAAUCCUACACUAUUGAUAUACACAUAAUUACACACAUUUAUGUGUGUGCGCUUAGUGGGUAGUUAUUAUUUAUUUGUAUAGCUUAUGGUGCAAAAUUACUCAGUGUUUUUCACCAGGUGUAGCAGAUCAUAGACUGUGACACGAAGAUAUUCGUGGUGUUUUAUUAGGUACACUAGGAUCCUAGUCAAGAGCUAUUUGACCCUAUUUCUAACGACAAUUUAAAAAAUAUAUAUAAUUAGAGAUUUGGUUAGUUUUAGUUUUAAUUAGUUAAUUCUUAUAUGAAAUGAUGAUUGGAUCGAUCCUCCAAAUUGUCUUAAUCGAGACCAAGUGCCAAAUAGGGGAGGGACCAAAUUGAGUCUUAAUCAAGAUUAUUUUGAAACUAAAUUCUGACAUCACUAAUGAUACGGUUGGUGGAUGAGACCGUACGAAAAUGAGGUUCUGCAGAUGUUACAUUGGCGAAAUACACCAGAGUAAUUUGUUUCCAAAAUUAAUUUCAAGAUACAUGGUUAUUAAGAGAGAAAUACAGUUUUCAUCCCUCAAGUUUGCACUGAUUUCACAUUUGGUCCCCGAAUUUAACGAAAAACACAUUCGGUCUCUUCUUAUGUUUGAAAAAUUCAACAUUUUUAGUCUUUUUCGUCAAGUUUCUGUUAAAACUAACGGAAUCAAGCAUGUGUCCACCACUACCUUAAUUGACAGACUAACGGUGAAUUGACGGAGAAGACCAAAAGUGUUAAAUUAUUGAAACAUGACUACCUUAAUUGACGGACUAACGGUGAUUGGCGGAGAAGACCAAAAGUGUUAAAUUAUUGAAACAUGAGGAAUCAAAUGUAUUUUGAAAACAUGCAAACUUGAGGGAUGAAAACUAUAAUUUUUCCCUCGUAACAUAAAUUAUUGAGAGGUUUUGAUUUUUUUUUUUAUUUAUUUAUUUAUUUAUAUUUUCCCUUAAAUUAUAUGUCAAUUCAUCUAGUCUAAUCAACCAAAUAAGAUAACUAAAAAAAUAAAUCCUUAUCAAUAUUGGUCCCCUUAGCUUCAAUUGCAAAUAAAAUAAAUCCAAAUUGUACAUUAUUAUAUUAGACAAAUCGAUUCAUUCUAUGGGUUUCUUUCAUGACAAAGUAUGACAAUAACUUCGUUAAUGUCAAACCAAUUAGCGAUUAACGUAAGAAGAUGAUGUGUAAUUAGUACUUUUAACAUUAGUUUAUCGAGAUUCAACCAUCUUCUACGGUUACGUUUUUCGGUCCCCUCUUAAUAAUUACGUAAUUCGUGACGAGCAAAAUAAUAUUGAAUGGACCAAAUGUUGUCGAUCAUUAGCUAGUCGCAUUUAAAUUUAAGGUAAGAACAAAUAUGACAACACAAUAAUGGUUUGAGAGGUUUUUUUUUAAUUUAUUCUUUCUUAGACAAGUAUCACAAUUUUUUUGUUAAGAUCAUAUUGUCAUGUAGCAUUGGAUUUCUUUUUCAUGAUAUAUGAAUAAGAAUUAUAUGUAAAUAAUUUAAGUAUUAAUUGGGAGGUGACAUGUUAAUAAAAUAUAUAUUUUGAUGUUUAUAUAUUAACCUACUACAUUUCACAAAUUAAAUAUAACACUAUUUUAUCUUACAAAUUUUGGUCCCCUCUUUGAUCAUGCAUUAUUGGUAACAAGGAAAACAAUAAUGAGAGGUUAUUAUUUAUAUAUAAUUCUUUUUUUGGCCAAUUGUAUGACAAUAGUUUUUGGUAAUAUCAUAUUGUCAUCUAGAUAUUGGAUUUUGUUUUUCCAUAUUGAAAUAUAAAAAUAGGAAUUAUAAUGAUUGGCACAGGGAAAUUAAUAAUAUUUUUACUUAAAUGAAAAUGAAAAUAAGUGAGUUAAGUAUCAUACAUUCAUCAAGCUAUAUAUAUAAAUUUGAACAUAAAUAUAGGUGCACUGCGUAAACCUACACUCUCGUAUAUAUCUAAGCUAUAUAUAUGUCCCUAUUGGAAUUGGCUUUCACAAAAUUCAUAUGCUUCUUGAAGCCAAUAAUAUUAUUUUUAAAAUUUUAAAUUAAUUUUUUGUUUUCAUAAUAUUAAAAAAUAUUAACAAAGAAUAUUCCAUCGAAUCUUAAAGAAAUUCCGUUAGUAAAUAAUAUAUAUUUUAUUAUUUUUUUCAUAAGUUAAUCAUCUUUUAUACCAAGAAAUUGUAAUGAGAUGGAUCGUAAAAAUGAAGGAUGAAAAUGAUACAACUGUUAAAUGAAGGACUAAAAUGGAACUAAAUAUCAAGAUGAUGGACCAGUAGUGAGAUUUUGCCUAAUUCUUAGUAUAAAGAUUAUAGGGUAAAUUCCACUUUCCCCCUUGUACUUUGGCUUGAUAUAACUUUAUCCCGUUUUACUCUUGAUUGCAUCGAUUUGCCCCCGUGUACUUGAAUAAUUGGCUUAAAUGCGGCCAUCGCGUUAGUUUUCAGAACUUUUACCUUAACACAGUUUGAUCUAAGUCUGAAAAUUACAAACAAACCACCCCUCCCAGUUUAAAAAAUUAUUAAAAAAAAUUAUGGCUGCCGUCGUGGACUAUGCUUUCUCGUGUUCUGAAUUUAUUAUUAUUAUUUUUUUGUUUUUUUAAUUCUUUUUUGUUUUUUUAUUCAUUUUUGUUUUGUAAUAAUUAUUUAAACUGUGAAGCGUCGCGUUUUUGUAAUUUCAGAGUUUAGACCGAACGGUGCUAAGGCCAAAAGUCUGACAACUAACAGCAAGGGUCACAUUGACACAAAUUUUCAAGAAGUUGAUACGAAAGAACACGCAAUACAUAGUAGAGUUAAUUGCACAGAGCCCUUGUGUAAUGUCUAAUUGUCGAAUAAGUUCUGAGUAAAAAAAUUAUCAAUUAAUUCCGCCAGAGAAUUGUCGAAUAUGUUGCAUGUUUUUAGCCUACCCCUAAUGACUUAAAAUCGGGCUUCCUUGUUUGUUAUUCAGAUCUGAUUUGGUAAGGGUUCUGUACUAGCCUCUUUUCGCUGCCCUGUGGUGUUGUUUUGUGUUUGUGAUGGUUCUCCGGCUCUGGUGGUGGUGAUGUUGCGGUGUGGCCGCCGGCUACAGUUAUUUGGAGGAGCAUGAACAUGGAGCCGGUGAAGGAAGGGGGAGAAUUGAGGAUCUUAUGUAAAUUAGGGGUUUAUUUAAAAUCAAACUUCAUUGAGUUUACAGUAAAUUACAAUCAUCCCUGAGGUAUGGUCGAAUUACAAAAAAAACACUUCAUGUUUGGAUAAUUAUAACUACCCUCAAUUAUGAAUCUUCUUACACGUUUACCGUUAUGGUGUCAAAUUCAACAUAAUCUUCUAGGUUAUAUGGAAUGUUCUCUAGUUUGUACUCGUUUUGUGCAAAAAUGCAGUUUCUGAUGCACCACAAUCUGAUAUAUACAAGCCAAAAAACACAUGUUGAAUAUUCCAUAUAAGCUAGAAGAUUCCACUAAAUUUGACACCGCAAGGAUGGACGUUUAAGAAGAUUUAUAGUUGAGGAGUGAUUGUAAUUAUCCAAACAUAAGGGUUUUUUCGUAAUUCGACCAUACCUCACAGAGUGGUCGUAAUUUACCCUUGAGUUUAUAUUGAUUUGCAAGAGGGUAUUUAUGUCAUUUCACAAGCAAAAUCGAAGAAAUACUCACGCAAGCCGCGAGUGAAUUACGCGAUAUGCUUAUCGACGCUUUGUUGGCUUUGACUAAAGAACACAGGGAGGUAGAUGCUAAUAUUUUUAAUACGGGCACAUUUUUUAUAAUUAGAUCUACCACAGGGGUGCCGCUUAUAAAAAACCCAUAAAUAUUAUAUUACACAAGACAUACAUUAUUCCUUAAUUAUAUUUUCAGUCCCUUCACACACACACACACACACACACACACACACACACACACACACACACACACAUACAUAUAAACUAAAAAUAUAAUAAACAUAAAAUUCAUUCAAACACCACAGAAAUCUUUAAGUAUGUUCUGAGAUCUUCGGCCGUGAUCCGUGUCGUAAAACUUCAACAAAUCGACGUGAACAAACGGCUUGAAUUGCAACGGAUUUUCAUCGUCGUCGACAAACUCCUCUGGCACUUUAACCAUCUUGCUGAGGAAAGAGAAUAGGGCAAUUGUGUAUCUUGUCUCUUUAAUUCCAUUCUUGUGCAAUGUUACUUUGUGGUUUGGAGAAAGCACCUUGUUGUUACUCCAUGCCUCAUUAAUUACCAAACAAUAAAAAAUAAUUAGCAAUGUUAAUAACUAUAUGUACAUUGUUCCAUCAAAAUAAUGUACAUAAUUAUUAAUAAGGUUUAUGGGUGGAAAUCGGACAGAUCGGAUCGCAAUUAGCACUUUUGGAGAAAAAAAUCAGAUUAUUUUCAGAAAUUUAAAACUAGUCCAAUUCUGUUCCAAAAAACAAAAUUGAAAAUGGGAAUUUCGGAAAUUUGAAUGAAAAAACUUGUUCCAAAUUUUUUUUUUAAAAAAAAGAAAGAAAGAAAGAAAAAAUCGAAUCGGAAUCGGCGGAGUUUGGAAAAUACAAAUUUUUCGUAACCUAAACAUAUAACUUACAUAAUAAUUUUAGUAUUAUAAGUUUAUUUUUCAGAAAAUUUUUUUUGGAAUUUUCAAAAUUAUUUUGGAAAUUUGAAUUGGAUGGAAAUCGAAAUCGAAAUCUCAUAUGUAUUCCGAUUCCGAUCUGAAAAGUUUGGGAAAAAUUGGACGGAGUUUAAACUUUUUGUUCCCAAAUUGAAAAAUUCGGACCAGUUUGCAGAAAUAGGAAUUUUCGUUCCAAUUUCCACCCCUAAUAAUAGAGGUUAAUUGCAUUCAUCACCCUGUGUUUACUCAAAGAUCGACGUGUUAUAACUUACAAAUAUUAGCAAAACCACCCAUCCGAUUCUUUUUUAUUAGCAAAUACUCCCUAAAAACUGAAGAAAAAAAAUGCAUCAUAAUUAAGGGUGCUCUUUUGUAAUAUUUAUAACACAAAAUUUUUUUAGCAAUUCGAUAUAACGGGAACGAAUUCAAUUCGAUAUAUACAUGAUUAUAUAUAUAUAUAUAUAUAUAUAUAUAUAUAUAUAUAUAUAUAUAUAUAUAUAUAUAUAUAUAUAUAUAUAUAUAUAUAUAUAUAUAUAUAUAUAUAUAUAUAUAUAUAUAUAUAUAUAUAUAUAUAUAUAUAUAUAUAUAUAUAUGGAAAAGUAGGGUGACAAAGCUUUUGUCUGUGUGGGAGGGAAAAGCCAUUUUACUUUCUCCCUCUUCGGCUCUUAGAGUGCUCGAUAUUUUAAGAAUCUGAGAAUAUAUGUCUUUGCUUCUAUAUGCGAUUCGAAGUGCUGCGGACCGUAGCUCUCGAAUAGCAUUUUGAUCACCAGUUUUUCUAGCUCUGCAACCGUCUUCGCGAAGGUCCUCGAUGUCUCACUAACCAAUACAAAAUAAAUAAAUUUUUUUAAUAUCAGGCAAAUUACAAAAACAAAAAACCCUGAAGCGAAGCACAAUUACGAAAAUCUCCUAUGUUCGCAUAAUUAGAAAAUCCUUUUUUCUGACCAGUGUUUGACCAUUUAAACUCACAGAAAAUAUAUUUUAUCCGUUUUUUACCCUUCUNNNNNNNNNNNNNNNNNNNNNNNNNNNNNNNNNNNNNNNNNNNNNNNNNNNNNNNNNNNNNNNNNNNNNNNNNNNNNNNNNNNNNNNNNNNNNNNNNNNNAAAAACCACCUAGAGAUAUUUAUAUAUUGAAAAAAAAUCCUUAACCAAGGCUAGAAAUUGGAACAAAUUAAAUUCUGAAUUAUGUCAAUUUUGAUAUAAAAAAACGAUUUGUGAAUUUCUUUUGCAUUCUAAAUUUCCAAAAAAAAAAAAAAUAAAGGGUAAAUUACGAAAAAACCAUAUAAUCAGGUAAUGUUAGACGGUGCGUACCAGAAGGAAUCGUUGCCGUUAGGCCACAUGAGAUUAGUGAAACCUUGAGCUCCUUCAAGUGUGGUUGAAUAAUCAAUGCCUAAGCCUUCAUGCAGGGGCACAAUGGGCAUUUGACCCACAUAUCCAUGGUAGGGCUUGUCAUUUUUGUUCUGAAUCUUAACUUCUGUCGGGAGAUCGAAUAAUUCAUCGGCUGCUUUGAAGAUGGAUUUGUGAAGAUGGGUUGAUAUUUUAUCGUAUAAUGCUACGAAACAGCCGUGGUUUUCGAGGGCUCUUCUUAUUUCUUUGCACGACGUUGACCAAGAAAUUGACCCUGGUUUCAUCUCCUCCUUUGUGAAAUCUACUACUAAAAGUUCAGGAAUAGUUAGAGAACCCAUGAUUCUUGAUUUUCUUUAUUAUUUUUAUUAUUAUUAUUUUAUUUUUAAUUUUUUUUUUGAGAAAUUUGAGCUUAGAUAGAUAGAUAGAUAGAGUUUAUGUGGUCUUAUAUAGGAUAGGUUAUGGGUUUUAGUAUCGAUCAAGGGUCGAAUCCAAAUCUAACCUACUUAACCGGAGGCUACGACCCCUCACCGCCUCUGCAUAUUAUAUAGAGAUCUGUUAUUUUUCGAGGUUUAUAAUAUUAUGGUCCCUUGACAAAAAAAAAAAAUCAAAAUUUUAAGUGUAUAUUUGGCCCCAACGAAAACAAAAUCAUGUGUCCGCUACAACCAUGGUUAACAGAUCAGGUAGGUGGUUGGUUCAAUAUAGUUAUUACGUGGAUACAUAAUCGACUACGAUUUGAGGGUCGUAAAACGUUUGUACCUUGUUCUUUCCUUGCCUUAUUUUGUUUAGGUGUGUCGGUUUUUAAUCUUUCAUGGCUUCCUAUUUUCGAACCGAUUUCUUGUUUUGGAUUUUGAUAAAAUGAACUAUUAGGUCGAUUUGACAACGGCUAAUUAAAAAUAAAGGGCAAAUUACCAAAAACCCCCUGAGGUAAGCCUAAAUAACGAAAAUCUCCCUUACGUUCUCGUAAUUACGAAAACCCCCCUUGACUAACGGUUGACCGAAUUUUUUUAACUGACAACGUGAAAUGUCUCUUAUAUCCUUUUGUUAAAUAUGUAAAAAAUAAAGGGCAAAUUACCAAAACCCCCCUGAGGUAAGCCUAAAUAACGAAAAUCCCCCCUGACAUCCCUUUCACUUGAUGAUUUAUUGCUUUUAUAAAUUUAUUUAUUACUUUGUAAUUUGUAUUGAUAAUUUGAUAUUAUAAUUUUUUUAUUUUUUUUUCAUUUAUAUAUUUUAUUUGAUUUUAUUUAUCCAGAGGAGUAUUCAUACGGAUUUAUGCUUUUAGCUUGAAUGAUGCAUGGUUGUAUUUCUCGAAUUGUAAAAUAUUUAAUUUUAUAUAUAAAAAAUAAUUAAAUUUUGAAAUCUCAUUUAUUGAUUUUUUUAAUCCAAUAAAANNNNNNNNNNNNNNNNNNNNNNNNNNNNNNNNNNNNNNNNNNNNNNNNNNNNNNNNNNNNNNNNNNNNNNNNNNNNNNNNNNNNNNNNNNNNNNNNNNNNNNNNNNNNNNNNNNNNNNNNNNNNNNNNNNNNNNNNNNNNNNNNNNNNNNNNNNNNNNNNNNNNNNNNNNNNNNNNNNNNNNNNNNNNNNNNNNNNNNNNNNNNNNNNNNNNNNNNNNNNNNNNNNNNNNNNNNNNNNNNNNNNNNNNNNNNNNNNNNNNNNNNNNNNNNNNNNNNNNNNNNNNNNNNNNNNNNNNNNNNNNNNNNNNNNNNNNNNNNNNNNNNNNNNNNNNNNNNNNNNNNNNNNNNNNNNNNNNNNNNNNNNNNNNNNNNNNNNNNNNNNNNNNNNNNNNGAUGGAUAACUCAUCAUAGGUAAAUAAUAUAGUACGGGUCCAAUUUAUAAUUGACUAUUUGUAGACAAACUCAUUUAAUAUUUUCUGAAUUGUAUGAACCCCCUAGCUUAUGUUAAUGCCCUUUAUGCCAUUUUUCCAUAUUUUUCUCCAAUUUUCUCUAUCUUCUCCUUAUUUCUCUCAUAUCUCUAAUUUCUCUCUCUUCCUUAUUUUCCUCAAUAUUUGAUGUGUUCUUUUAUUCUUCUUAUUUUUCUCUCUCCUCUCUACUAUCUUCUCUCUCCUCCUAAUUUCCUCUUUUCUCAUAUUUUUUUCUUUUCUUUCUCUUCCCUCAAUUCAUCUUUUCUCGGUUGUUUCUGUUUCAUUUUUUUUUCCCUAUAUUUCUUCUCACUACUGUACUUUUUCUUCUAUAUCUCAUUUUUUGGUAGUUGAAAUUAAUUUAUUUUCUACUCUAUGAAAUUCAUGUUUUCAUGAAGAUGAGAUUUUUAUCAUGAGUAUUCAAUUUUAUAACACUAUAGUAUCUUAAAUUGAAAAAUAAUAUGGUGAAUUAAUGGAAAAAUUAUAGUUGACUACCAAUUUUUUUAUAGUUGACAUUUGAACAAUUAUAGUUGACUAUCUAUUUUUUGUACUUGACUCUAGCAACAAUAUAGUUAACUACCAUUUUUUUAUAGUUGACAUCGUAAAAUUUGACUAUCUAAUUUUUAUAGUUGACUUUGGGAGAAAUAUAGUGAACUACCGAUUUUAUAGUUGACUCUGAGUGUAGAUGACUACAAUAUUUUAUGUUUCGACGACACUGAUCUUUUCUUUGUUUUGGACUCUGAUAAAACAAAUUUCAUAGGAAACAAAUAUUUAUGAGUCAACAAAUAGUGUGACCAUUGAUGUGUAGAUCUAAAAAACAAUCGUGUUUACAAACUUCAUUUUUGAGUAAUCAACCAUGGAAGAAUUCCGAACCGUCGCAUAUGGUCGUCGCGUACCGUUGUAUACCGUUUCUGUAGGAGACCUCAAUUUUGUCCUUCGGAGUCGCUGAAGAGGGUGUCAAAAACAGAAAUUAUGUGGUAAAUGUACAUAAAUUAGGUUAAUAGACGUCGAGAGGAGCGAUGAGUGUAUAGGAAACUACAUGUCUGAUCUUCUUCUUGCUACCUUUCACCAUUGUUGUUGACCAGUAUUUCUCAACGAUUCUCAUACAAAUGUUAUUUGUCGUUUUAUUUUUUUUAAGAAAUGUAGCAACUAGGGCAUUGUUGCGUCUGGGAAAUGAUCCGAUAUAUUUGCAGAUUUUUUUUGGCGAUUUUCUUGGCACAAAUAUAUAUAGCACCGUAGCNNNNNNNNNNNNNNNNNNNNNNNNNNNNNNNNNNNNNNNNNNNNNNNNNNNNNNNNNNNNNNNNNNNNNNNNNNNNNNNNNNNNNNNNNNNNNNNNNNNNNNNNNNNNNNNNNNNNNNNNNNNNNNNNNNNNNNNNNNNNNNNNNNNNNNNNNNNNNNNNNNNNNNNNNNNNNNNNNNNNNNNNNNNNNNNNNNNNNNNNNNNNNNNNNNNNNNNNNNNNNNNNNNNNNNNNNNNNNNNNNNNNNNNNNNNNNNNNNNNNNNNNNNNNNNNNNNNNNNNNNNNNNNNNNNNNNNNNNNNNNNNNNNNNNNNNNNNNNNNNNNNNNNNNNNNNNNNNNNNNNNNNNNNNNNNNNNNNNNNNNNNNNNNNNNNNNNNNNNNNNNNNNNNNNNNNNNNNNNNNNNNNNNNNNNNNNNNNNNNNNNNNNNNNNNNNNNNNNNNNNNNNNNNNNNNNNNNNNNNNNNNNNNNNNNNNNNNNNNNNNNNNNNNNNNNNNNNNNNNNNNNNNNNNNNNNNNNNNNNNNNNNNNNNNNNNNNNNNNNNNNNNNNNNNNNNNNNNNNNNNNNNNNNNNNNNNNNNNNNNNNNNNNNNNNNNNNNNNNNNNNNNNNNNNNNNNNNNNNNNNNNNNNNNNNNNNNNNNNNNNNNNNNNNNNNNNNNNNNNNNNNAUAUUAAAGAUGCAAGUGAAUGGACGAAAUUACCCCUCAAAAUCUCACGUACAAAGCACAUGUUUUAACAUUCCGGUCGAAAUGGCCGGAAAAUUGAGUUUAGGGGGCAUCGUGCAACGAAUUAACGAGUUCAGGUAAAAACGUGCAAAUUUUGUAAGCUGGGGGGGCGCCGUGCAAAACACCCCAAAGUCCAGGGGGUAAAAUGCUUUUUACCCUUAAAAAUAAUAUAAGAUAGUUAGUCCUAAUAUUUUUCCUAAUGAGGGGGUUAUAUCUCAUUAACCCUAUAUAUAUAUAUAUAUAUAUAUAUAUAUAUAUAUAUAUAUAUAUAUAUAUAUAUAUAUAUAUAUAUAUAUAUGUACAUAUAUGGGCAAAUUGCACAGCCCCAUGUAAAUUUCUAAUUUUCGUAUUUUGCCUCCUCAAAUUUUUUAUAAGUGAAUGCCCCCCUCCCCCCUCAAAAUGUUAUUUUUGUUGUACAUUGCUCCCAUAGCAAAACUCCGAUUGAUUAUUCUUUCGAAUUGUUGCACGUUGCCCCAUUUAAAUGUUAUUUUUGUUACAUAUUGCCCCUUAAAAACUCUAUUUUUUUUUGCACGUAGCCCCUUUAAAAUGUUAUUUUUGUUGCACAAUGCCCUUCAAAAAUUGGUUUUUUGGACAAAAUGCAACUAAAAUAAUAUUUUGAAGGGGAAUAUACAUUUUUCAAAUUUAUUUGGGAUUAGGACAUCAUAAUUUGAAAGGCCAACCUAAGUUAUUAGAAGAUUAUGUCCUUCUCAACUAUCACAAAACUAUUAUUAUGAUUUUUGGUUUAAUAAAAUAAUUAAAUAAUAAAAUAUGCAUCAUCAGAUCGAUCAGUCAUUGGAUGAAUGUGACCCAUUUAUUAUCAAAUAUUUAUUACGUGUCUUUUUCAUAUUAUUGUCAUUUAUUUUGGACAUAAUUAAUUGAUGUGUUUUUAUAUAACAGAAGAGAUAAUAUAUGAUAUAGAAAGGUACAUAUAUGAUUUAUUUAGUUAAUGAUUGCUCGAAUAGAAACAUAGAACAUUAGCUGUCUUAUUCCAUUCACCAAUUUAAAUUAAUCAAUCGUGUUUUCUGUCCGAAUAAAUAAAGAAAACAUGGCUUUUAAUUAUAUAUAUAAAUCUUUGUCCAUAUUAUAGAUUAAAAUUGAUCCUAUAAUAUUAUAUAUGUCCGAUCAAUCAAUAUUAUUUAAUUAAAUAAAAUUGUAUAUUUGUAGUCACCAGUCAGGGUUGGCCCUAGGUUAAUUGGUGUUUGCAUAUGCUACACUCGGUAAAAUAUACCAUGUAGUUAUAUACUAUUGAUAUACACGUAUAUAAUAACCCAUGCACAUUUGUAUGUGUGUUUAGUGAGUGGUUAUUUGUAUAAAUAUAUAGCAACCGUAAAAUGGUGAAUUAUGAUGGUGCUUUUUAGUUUUUAUGUGUUACUAAUAUGCCCAAAAUUCUCCUUACACGAAACCUCAUCCUAUAGUUAACUACCGUCACAGCGUAACUCAACCAAAAUCUAAGGGGGUGUUUGCAAAAGCUUUUGGAAACAACUUUUGAGCUUUUUUUGCUAAUAUAAUUUGUUUUUAGGCGGUGUUUGCAGAAUCAGCUUGUACUUUUGCUUCUCUUAGAUUAAGUUGUUUUAAGCAGUUGUGUCCUGUGUUUUCUAUUUAAGUUAAUUUUUCAGCAUAUAUACAAACAUCUCCAACUUUUACAAAUAAGCGUACGUAAUACCCACUUAACUCACAAUCGUCACUAACUUCACAUUUUAAAUAAGUUUUUACCAAAAAUCACCUAAGAUUUCGUAAAAUUACACCAAUUUAAUAUCUUUUUCAAAUUUAUAAAAAAAAAAUCUUGUGAUAAUAAUUAGCAAGUACCCCUUAUGUUGUACUUUAUACUGCACAUCGCCUCAUUUAUCAGAUUUAACUCCUAAAUUUAAUGAAAAGACAAAAUUAUCCCUAAUUUAAAAUAAAGCAGAAUACCCCAAACUCAAUUAAUUAGAAAAUUGUGAAAAAAAUAAAGGGGGCGGAGUUCCUUGGGAGAGAUGGAACAGAGGAAAGGGGGCGUUUAGUACCCUUCGUUUUGGCAUUUGUGAGAUUUUGGCGAGUCGAGGGUUUUAGUGAGGUCGACGGUGGAGGGGCGGUCAUAGACGGCGGGGGUGGUGGCAGAGCUGGCAGUUAGUUCGGAGUUUUUUAAGUUGGCCGGCAAUGGUGGUUUUCGAUGUGGUGUAGGAGAGGGUUUUUUUGAAAGUGUAAGGGACUCAAAUAAAAAAAAUUAAUAAUUCAUUUUGGUGCUUACAAAAAAAGGUAAGGGUGAAUCUGUAAUUUGUAAAUAUAUGAUGAAGGGUAAUUGGGUCUUUUACGGUAAAAAAUAAUACUCUCAGUCGUAAAAUUUGCGUGCGCAACUCACGAUAAAUUGUUAGGGGCUUUUUCAGCUUUGACUACAUUUCAUAUGAGGGUCCUUGCAGGGCCGGUUCUGAGGGGAGGCGAAGUAGGCGGUCGCCUAGGGCCCCUGAAUUUUUUUAAUCAGGGGUACCUAAUUAUUAAAUUUAUAAUGUAUUAGUUAUUUACUUUUAUAUAUAUUCACUUGUUUUAGUGCUACUUCAUACAAAUUAUUCUUAAAAAAAAUUGGGGGUGCUGCCCCCGAACCCCUGUAAACUUUAACCCCACUAUGUCACAGAUUUUUAGCCUUGCCACUGGCUAUGUACCUUACAAAAUCGAGUUAACAUAGAGUUUAUCACCUUUUAGAAAAAAAAAAUGAGUUUUAUUGUAGAUUGUAGAAGGGGGCCCAUUUUUUAUCCGUCUUCAAAUCUCGCCUAAGACCCCAAAAUCUCAGAAACGGCCGUGAUAGGUUAUUGCAAAUAACAUAUAUUCUUUCUCGAAAAGAAAAAAAAAAAAGGCCACACAUGUUUAUUCCAAGACCAAAAGCCCAAUGCAAUAAUACAUCUCCACACCAACUGCACUGUAAUUCUUUUUUUUUUUGUCCCCCUUACACACAACAACAACAAAAUACAUCUACACAAAAGCACACCAAUAAUGCAUAAAUAAAACAAACAUUAUUAUAAAAAAAUAAAAAAAAUAGAACAAACAAUCCUUAAACACCACAGUAGGUUCUGAUAGCACUCUCAAGUCUCCUAUUCUCUUCUUUGCUGUAAAAAUCAAGAAACUCGAGAUGCUCAAACGGCUUAUACUGCAUCGGAUGAUCCUCGUCCACUAAUUCUUGCGGUAUUUCGACCGUUUUCUCCAAAAACGAAAACUGCGCAAUUGAAUAUCUUGCUUUUUUAGCUUCCAUGGUCACCCUAUGGUGUGGCGAUUUUAUCCGGUUAUUGCUCCAUGCCUAUUCCAUCCAAUUUAUAAACAAGUUUAUUGCAUUUAGUACUGAUGCUAUAUCGAACCGUUAAAAAACUCUCCGUGUUAUUAAUAUCAACAAAACAACCCCUUUUAAUGCAUCUUUUUUAGCACAUAACACAUGAAUAACGAGUUUAUAGGGGCAGUUUAGGAAGAAAAAUUGAACCAUGGGGGGGUUUUUUAAGAAUAGAGAAAAUAUAGGGGUGUUGAAUGCAAUAAACCGAAAUAUAAACUCACCAUUAUUGCGUCAUGAUGGGGGUUUGCUAUUAAAAAAAUACGGGGGGUUUUUAGCGAUUAGAGAAAAUACAGGGGUGUUGAAUGAAAUAAACAGAAAUAUAAUAUACUCACCAUUAUUGCAUCGCCAGCCAUAACUAUGACAGAUGAAGAAGAAAGCUGAUGAACACCAAACCAGUCACCAUCUUUGGUUUUGAUCUCCAAACCGUCAACUUGAUUCUGAUGAAUUGUAGACAUAAAACUCUUGUCUGUAUGAGACACAAAUCCCAUGUUAUUUUCAUUCGACUUCGGUUCUCUGUAUUUCAUUACCCUGCAGAGAUAGUUUGCUGAACCGAUGAGGGAUUCGUAGUGCUUCCCCACUCCGUAUCUCUCGAACACCAUUCGCACGACAAUUUUCUCCAGUUCCGCUGCUAACUUUGUGUACGAAACGAGUUUCUCACUGCGCCCAAAAAAAAUUUGAGUUAUACAGUAGAACCUUGAUAAACUAAUGUCCUGAAUCAUAAUUUAUUCGAAUCCCAACUCGGUAAAAACGUACUAAAAUUUUAGUUAGAUAGUUCAAUAUUUCGCUAAAUUAAUAUAAUUUGUUAGUCGCGAAUGUAUUAAUUUAUUGAGGUUUCACUGUAUCAGGCUUUUGAUAAUGAAAAUAACACAGGGAUGUUUUUCUUUAACAAUUUUAGUAAACAUAGGGGAGUUAGAUGAUACAUCUGGUUACUUACAUCGGGUGGAUUUGAAUCGUUGAUUUAAUUAAAUAAUUACCCACUGAACAAUGUGUGUGUGAUUAUGUAUAAAUCUAUGGUUCAAAUUCACCCAGUGUAAAUAGCCAGGUGUAGUAUCUAAUUUCCCGUAAACAUAGGGGUGCAGAAUGCGCAAAUAAAGUUACUACAAGCUAGUAAAACAUCCAUAAUUUAUCCUAAAUUUCUAGACAAGGAAAAUCAAAACUACUAUACACUAAAAAAAAUAUAAGCGAAAAAACAUGUAUUUUUUGUAAUCCGGAAAAAUUCGUACCUGAAAUCGUUAUAUCCAUUAGGCCACAUAACUUUGGCGAAAUUCUGGAUUCCUUGGAGGGUAUCGGCAUUAUCGAUACCCAUACUUUCGUAGAGAGGAAUGAAUGGGAUUUGGCCAACAUAGCCGUAUAAGGGCUUAGUGGAUUUGUUUUGGACUUUGGUUUGAGUUGGGAGAUCAAACAAUUCUUCUAGGGCUUUAAAAACUGUAGUGUGUGUUUCUUGGGUGAGUUUAUCAUAUGAUGCCACAAAACAACCGUAUUUUUCGAGUGCAGAGACCACUUCGUUGCAUGUUUUGGACCAUGAUUCUGUCCCGGGUUUCAAGUUCUUGUCUGAGAAUUCAAUGACAUCAAGUUUGUGUUCUUGUGACAGAGAACCCAUGAGAGAGAGAGAGAGAGAGAGAGAGAGAGAGAGAGAGAGAGAGAGAGAGAGAGAGAGAGUUGAAGAAAUAGUAUGAUACUUUUAUCAUGGAUGCAGGCAUUGCUUACUUAUAAUAACUUAUGUAGCGCGGACAUGGAAACAGUGAUACGGGGAAACGGCAUAUCCCAAAAAUAGGGAUACGGGAACUUGAGGGAAAUAUGUAAAUAUUAAAAAUAUAUAGGGGUAUAUUUAUAAAUUCUUUUUAUAUGUCUUCGUACAAACAUAUUCAAAAUAAAUAUUAUUAUCAACUAACUAUCAAUCUGCAAUAGAUCAUUAAAUCAUAUAAAUAAUUAGGAAAGGCAAUAAAAAUAUUUAGAAAUUCGUUAUUCAAACAUGUUUCUAACUUUUUUAAAAUUUGCAAAAUGGCCCAUAAGGUGUCCGGCGGGUGUCCUAGAGUAUCGGACAUAAAACGUGUCCGAAAUUAUGUGCCAAAUUAAAUAGCAAUAGUAUUAAUUUAAUAAAUGGCAUAUAGUACACAUUAGUUUUAAUUAAUUAUUCUUUGAUUAGCACCGGCCCAUUUGGUGGAGGGGUCCUUCUCCUGCUAAUAGUUUAUAGUUCAAUUAUGGGUUAAUUGCAAAUACGAUCCAUGUGUAAUCUCUAAUUGUCAAAUAUCCCUGUCAAAAAAUAAUUCACUCAUGCCCUCCUGUGUUAACAAAGUCAAUGCAUUAAGACCCCCUAAACUAAGGGCCGAUUUGCAUUUUACCCCCCAAACAAAAAAACUAACCAAAAUAAUUCACUCAUGCCCUCCUUUUUUUUUUGUUUUUUUUGUUUUGUUUUUAUAUAUUUAUUUUUUAAAAGAUUAAGUUAUAUUUAAUAUACAAUAUGUAAGUGACGGACGAAUAUACCCCUGCAAAUGUCACAUGCAAGGCACAUGUUUUAACUUUCCGGACAAAAUUGCCGGAAAAUUGAGUUUGGGGGGCACCGUGCAACGAAUUAACGAGUUCAGGUAAAAACGUGCAAAUUUUUUUUGUUUGGGGGGUAAAAUGCAAAUCGGCCCUUAGUUUAGGGGGCAAACUGCUUUUUACUUUUUGUAAUUACAAAAUAAUUUUAUUUUAUAUAAAAUUAGAUAAUUAUGAUAUAAAAUUUGAUGUAAUUAAAAUCCAUUAUUAUGUACUAAUUGCUGAAAAAACCCUAGGACAUUUCAGUCUUUUACCUUUCGUCAAAGCCUAAAAUAAAAAAAGGUGCAGUGCGCUUCGAAAAUAUUAACACAGGGGGGCAUAAGCGAAUUUUUUUUAUACAGGGGGUAUUUGGCAAUUACUGAUUACACAAGGGUGGUAUUUGCAAUUAACUCGUUCAAUUAUUACGAUUUACGACAAUAAUUUGCGAUUAUUCUAAUUCAAAAUAUAUCUUAUGCAUGAUUCAUAUGUGUUUAAUAAAUUUUACACUCUGUUUACAUGAUAAUUAAGGGCCAACCAAGCACACCGAAAAUUACUAUUUUAGCCCACCAGCAACAAAGGAUUACAUUCGAAGAAAAGGGACUUUUUCGACAAUAGAAUAAAUUAUAGGGAUUUGAUGCAAAAAAAAUAAAAAUUAUAUGAUAUAGAAUAACAUAAAUCUAUCUCUUCUGGAAGUUGAAAAAUCUGAUGGCGAUUCCAAAUGUGAAAAUGAAAAGAACAGUGAAUGCAACAUGCAUGCCUGCAACUGCUCCAAGAAAAUCGUGUUCGAAACCGAAGUAGCUUUUCAAGAACUCUUUCACCGUCACGCCCGGUAAUAUAUAAUUCUCCAAAUCUCCGAAUUGCGACGCCGUCAAACCGUACAUCGUCCAAGAAAUUGGAUCCGCCCAAUAAUACCAUCUCCACCACACAGGGAUGCUCUGGUUUCAACAACAAUUAAAAGAAGAAGAAGAAUUAAUAAUUCGGUUUCAAAUAUUUUUUUCGUGUUUAUGAAAGGAAAUGGAUUUGGUUUUUGAACUUACGGGGCGUGGGAUGAUGAAACCCGAGAAGAGAUUCCAUAGCAGGAUAAAGAAAGUGCCUACCACCGAGCCGAUGUGGUGGUUUGGUGACACGGACAAUGACAUCAUCCCGUAGAAGGUGAAGUACAAUAGACACAAGUACAUGAUGAACAAAAACCACAAGAAUUUUGGUACUGUCCAUUCGAACCCAAUCAUUGGAUAAACAAUCAGGCCGAAGGCGAUAGCUUGCGCGAAAAUAUAAGGAAACUCAAUAGCAACCUACAAAUAAUUAAAAAGAAAAAAAAACUAUAAUUAGUUUGCAAUUAAAAUUAAAAAAAGAAAAAAAAAACUAUAAUUAGUUUGCAAUUAAAAUUUAAAAAAAAAAAAAAAAAAAAAAAAAAAAAAAAAAAAAACAAGAUUAAUCAACAAGAGUUUAUAGAGUCAAUUGGCUUAAUUCCACUUUGCACCCUUGAAAAAUACCAUUUUGGCACUUUGCACCCUCGAAAAAUAAUAAUAGCACUUUGCACCCUCAAAACACAAUAAAUCAUUCACAGUGCACCCUCAAUUGAAUAAUAAAGGCAAUUUUAUUUUUCAUUGGUGUUUUUCUUUUUUGGGUACAAAAUAAAAAAAAAAUUGUUGUUUUCUUGAACCUCAAACCUAAUUUCGAGCGGACAAAGUGCGAAAAAAAAAAAAUUACACCGGAUUAUUUAAAAAAAACUACAUUAUCUUACAAAAGAAAAAUAAAAAAAAAUAAUCUUUUAUCACUAAAUUAUUCGAUUGUGGAUCUUUUAUGUCACUGUUUGUAAAAUAUUAGGUGAAAAUAUUUGGAAGAAAAAAUAAUUUUCAGAUAACUUGAUAACGUAAUAGCUGAAUGAUUUUUUUUCGUAAAAUAUUUUAUUUUGAUAAAACAAUAUAAUUUUUAAAUAUGUUGAUGGAAUGUAUUUUUAUUUUUGAACUUUAUAGUUUCAAAAUGAUUGAUGAAUAAAAAAAAUAUUUGACAUUUGGCAUGCUAAAAAAAUAUCACUACAAAUAUUAAAUUUAUAUUUUUUAGCUUUAAAAAAUCAUUUGGGGUGCAUUAUGCAUGAUUUAUUGUAUUUCGAGGGUGCAAAGUGCUAUUAAUUUAUUUCGAGGAUGCAAAGUGCCAAAAUGGUAUAUUUCAAGGGUGCAAAGUGGAAUUAAGCCGAGUCAAUUAUAUAUAUAAACCUGUGCUAUAGCAUAGGGCAUGGAUGAAUACAUCCCCGCAGCUCUUUCUCUAUAGAAAACAGUUCUCUCGAUAGCAACGACCGGCUGAACUGCAAUGGCGUUUUGGAUGCCUAAGAAGAGCACAGAUCCGUACAUAGAACCGAUGCCGUUGAGUAUAUUCUGUACACCAUUCCUGCUCAUUUUCAAGAAUUUUUUUAUUAUUAAUAUUUUUUUUCAAAUAAUUCCGUUUUAUGGGAUUAUUCAGAAAAAUACCUAUUGGAGCCGAAAUCCCAGAACAUGCUUCCCAUGAUGAGAGCUAUGAAUAUGGUUGAGAAAAACCGAACAGCGGUGUAAGGUGGAUUUCUCCAGUAGGACCAGUGUUGCUUCCACAGGCAAUAUAGGCAUUGGAUGUGGAAUGGCUGAGAGUAUUUAGUACGAAAAUAUAGCUCUUUCGUCUCUGGUUUCGGCGAACUCAAUUCACUAAUUAGAGCUUUGUUCCUCCUGGUAAUAAUAUUUAAGGUUGUUAGAAAAGAAAAAAAAAUAUUACAUCAUGAUAAAUCAGUCAUAGUGUUAAAUGAAGAGCAAACCUGUAUAAUUCGGAAUCUUUAUAUAAGCGAGAGAAAUCGACCCCUACGGACGUUUCUUGAGCUGGAGCAGUAAUUUCCAGCAUCCAUGUUGCUGGAUUGUAACCGUCUUUUAUUCUGCUAACUCCUUCAAUACUCUUUUACGGUAAAUAACAAAUAAAAGAAUACUAUAUUAGUCUCUCUUCUUCUUCUUGUUUUUUCUUUUUCUUUUUUUUUUUCUAAUCUUUGGCAAACUAACCUCAAAGUACUUGAUCAGAUGGCACGAAUGGCGUCCCAACGGGCCCACGUAUAUCUCUUCCCCUCCUCGUUUAAGCAGAAAUAGCUAGUAAUUUUAGGUCAGUAAUUUUGAACAAAGAAUACAGACAAGAUCAGUUAAGGUUAUUCAUUUAACUAGUUUCUUUUCACCUCAUCGAAAGAUUCGAAAAUGUCAAUGCUAGGCUGGUGUAUGGUGCAGACAACUGUCCUUCCAGUGUCAACGGUGUUUCUAACAGUUCUCAUCACAAUUGCAGCAGCUCUUGCAUCUAAGCCUGAAGUUGGCUCAUCCAUGAAUAUUAUCGAUGGAUUCGCCACGAGCUCGACUGCAAUAGUCAACCUCUUUCUCUGCUCGGUCGAUAGACCGUUGACACCUGGCAACCCAACUAUCGCACCUCUCAACGGUGUGAGUUCAACGAGCUCCAUCACUUCAUCAACAAACAUCUGCAAAUGUGCUUGAUAAAUGCUAUUACAAAAUAUUAUUUUUUUAAUAACCUUAAUUAGAAAUUAAUGGAUGGUUUGCUAUAAUAAUUACUGACACUUUUUGUUUUAGCAUCGAUAUCGGGAGAUAAACGAAGCCAAGCCGAAUAAAGUAAGGAUUCGUGCACAGUUACGUGAGGGGAAUGGAUAUCGUUCUGCUCACAAUACCCUGAAAUUCUAGCAAAUGUUUCUUGCUUUUUAGGGUACCCUGAGAUUGUGAUGCUCCCAUCUAUAUAGCCUCCCGUUUUCCGACCAGCCAGCACAUCCAUUAGGGUUGUUUUUCCGGCCCCACUAACUCCCAUCAAAGCUGUAAGAAUACCUGGCCUAAAAGCUCCACUCACACUCUUUAAAAGCACCAGUUUAUCCUCAAGAAAACCUCUGUCUUUCAUUUCCUUGAAAGCAAAAAAAGAAAAAGAAAAGAAAAAUCACUCAAUAAAAUGUAGCCUAAAUUCCAUUUUCAAAAUAACACCCGAAUUUUUUUUAAGAAAUUACCUGUGGCAUAUUAACAGAGUACACAAUUUCAUCAAAGGUGAUGGAAUGCGGUUCGAAUGGAAGAACCAUUCCCCUUUUCCUCUUGUUGGCAUCAACAAGACUAUUUAGUCUCGUUUCGUCGUCGUUUGGACUAUUUUCGCUUUUGUCUUCUGAUUUAACAGCUUGAGCCUCUCCAAAAGCUACAUAAACACUAUUUUUUUUACGAAUGCGACUCCAAAUUUUAAAUUACAUAGAUUCUAAAAGAAGAAACGCAGAUACAAGUACUUACGGUUGAGAUACAUUAGAGCUAGCAUGACGCCUAUGUUGAAUAGGAUUGUGAAUCCGAGUAAUGCCACUAAUCCUAUCCAGUACAUUUGUGCUUGUGGUAAGAAUCCACGGGCUUUUAGAACCUCAACUCCUAAUGAUUCAUUCUUGUAUCCAACAACCUUUAGGACAUAAACUUAUCAAUAAUCAUCUUCUUUUCUCUUUUCAAAAGCAAAAUUAGGACAGUGAAAUACGCUACAAUUUUUACAGUCAGCCAUGUAUUUACUUUAUUAGCAUAAACCCCACUAUAUAUGUUCGGAAGUUAAAUAUAUGCUCGGAAAUUAAAGCCAAAAGGUACCCCUUUGACCUCAUUGUUUCGCAAUUCACCCACGAAAAAAACACACAAAUUCUGAUAGAUGGAACUUACAUGUUGCCAACUAUUCCCCCUAAAUUCAUUCACGACAAGUGCAUUCUGCGCGUACAUCAUUGGCGAGCACCAAUAAGCCCAUAUCCACCAUUUUUUCACACUCACUGUAAAAAAACAGAAAAAAAAGGGGGGGAUGGACGUAAUUAAAACAUAUGAUUAGAAUUGCUUAAGAAUGAAUCGAAUCAUUAUCAACCUUACGAAAUUCAAUCUUUUUUUUUUGGGUUCUUGUUCUGUACCUCGUGACAUGACAACACCACCCAAUGCAAAAACUGCGAACAAUACAAUUGCACCAAACGUAUUUGCAAUGAUCAUGUUCCUGCCCACCGCUCCGAUCAGCCGGAACAAUCCACUGGCCAUCUGGUUUACAAAUAACAACAGCAAGUAUUGUUUGAAAAAUCUGCAUUAAAGAUACCAUUUUAUGUUAGUUAGUACAAAGAAACACACAUGUACCCACAAAUGCACACACAUGAUCUUGCAUUGUACUCCCUAUGUUCCAUAAUAAUUGUAGUAUAAUAUUUCUACACACAUAUUAAGAAAGUUCAUAAAUAUGCUUGAAUUUUAGGAAAAACACACAUAAAAAGACUAAAAUAUCCUUUGUUAUUUAGUGAAGUGAUAUUUGAAUUAAUGUUUAAUAUAGAGUUGAAUUCUAAUAACAGGCAGAACAGGAAACAAUACAUUUAAUGCAUCAUUGGGACUCUAAAAUGAGAUUCAUAUGGAACAAAAAAAUAUGAAAGGGAGGGGUGUAUAGAAAUUGUACCUUGCAGCAUUGGGAUCGUACCCCGUGACAUAGUAGGUGAUUAAAACCCAAGCCCCUACUUCGACAAACGAAAUGGGUAUCUUGAGUAUCCACAUUGGGAGCGCAUACACCCAAGGAGGAAAAAAGAGAGACUCUCUAUGUUUGUAAAAAACGGGAAGUUUGUAUAUUGUCAUGGAAAUCUCAGACAUUCCAUUGAACAUUACUAUAGUUGCGCUGAAAAACAAUGCACCGACAAAUAUAUAUCCAUCCUCUAAGCUACGGCGGUGCAUCGUGGUUCGGAAAAAGAUCGUCAUAGAUACCAAGGCAAUUAUAAGCAUCUGACCAAAUAAAAAGACUUGAGUUUUUAUUAAAAAUAAAAGUAGUAAAAAGGGAUAUAUAUAUAUAUACACACACACAAAAACCAACCUGUAAGAUCUUGAAGAUAUACACAAACGAGUUUCUUUUCAUGAGCAAGAUUUCUCUUAUAGAGCAAAUUCUUAAUAACUCCUUCGUGGUGGUGCCGUAUUUUCUGGUUGUUAAAGCGGCGGGGUGGCUUUUCGUCUUGUCGAACGGAGAUGCAAGAUUUUCGUUGAGUCUCCGUCCAAUGUGGAAUGAUUUAAACGCCUCGACAAAUUCACUCACUGUCACGAAUCUGUAAGGCUCGUUGAUCUUCAUCCAAUAUUGUUGCUGAUCUUUCAUUGAUGUCACCUGUAAAAGAACUGAUUUUCCUCAUUGUGCUUACUGAGAAAAGGACUUGUAAUGAUGGUUAGUCUUGAAUGUGAUUUUCUCUGUACUUGUUCUAACUAUCAAAAAAUUAUUUCCUAUUACUUAUAUUAACAUAAACCCGACUUUGAUCGGAAGUCAAAGACUCAUUUGACCCCAAUUUGUUUCGCUGAUUUGACCUCUUACUAGAUGAGGUGGUCAUUCAACAGUAGCAAUUCGAAAAGGCCAAAGGGGUAUUUUGCAAUUCACCACUCAUCUUAAAAUGUGGGGGAAGUACACUUUACACCCUUAACUAUGGGCAACGUACCAAACACCCCUUUGAACUUCAAAACGUACCAACAUAGCCCCUCUGUUUAAAAUCCGCCUGCCCUUGCGGAUGUGGCGCUUUGAAUUUUUCGUUUAUAGGCGUUGGAGUGACCGUUGUGCUUUUUUUCAGAAUUUUACCCUUCAACUGGUUGUAUAUAUAUAUAUUGAUGAACGAAAGCCUGUUUUGACUUUAUCCUUGUACUUUUUCCGAUUAUCUUUGAACAGAAAAGCCCACGGCUUGGAAUCUGUGUUAUAAGUUGGUUGAGACAUUUCAUCAGUCACCUUGUGUGCCUCAUUUGCGCACGAAAUUCCUUAAGCAUUAAAUCGUUUCCACCAUCCAUACCCAAGUCAGAAUCAACAUCAAAUUUCUUCGCUCCCAACCCCUUUUCCAUGACAGCAAAAUCACGCCAUAAAACUCGCGCAGAAGAGCUUUUGCUGUAGGUAGCAAGCCCCUUUCUAUUCUUAGCAUUUGAAUACCUUUCUAAACUUCAUAAGUGUUAAUAAAAAUCUGGUGGAAAUAUCCCAGCCAAAUAGCCCAAGAUCAAAGAAACCCAAACCAAAGAAAAAUUCGCGCGGAGGAAAAAGAAUCGCACAGAAAAACUGUUAACUCAGCAAUUUUUGAAUUUGAACAGAAAUUAACAAUUUAAUAUUGGAAAAAUAUAUCUCAGAUUUUAACGAAACGGUUGUAGCAGUCAGAUUAUUGGGAAAUGGGCUCAGAAGAUCGAUCAGAAUUCAGCAAGGAAGCACAAGGAGGAAGAUAGAGAAUCUUCUUUCAGGGAGAGAGAAUCUCUCUAUUUAACUACUUUUUAACUGAUAUAUCAACUGAGGGUGUAAAUGUAAUUGCAUAUUAAAAAUUAACAGUGUUAGUUUUCCUAAGAAAUUGCACUUCACCCCCUAUAAAUUUCCAAUUUCUGCAUUUUUAUUGGACGUUGCAGCUUUAAACUAUUAUUUUUACUGUUUAGAAUAAUAUUUUUAUUGCAUAUUGGUCCUUUAAAAUGUUAUUUUGUGCCACGUUACCCACUAGAAAUUGACUUCUGGAGCAAAGUGCAACCGAAGCAAUAUUUUAAAGGACGUUUGUCUCUAUUUUUUUUAAUUUCAAGUGGAGAAAGUGCGAAACAAAAAAAAAAUAUUGCAUACACAAUUAAUUACCUCUUGCAAGAAAUCGGCCACUGCUUUCCUCUCCGGACAUUUAAACCCCACGGAUUCGAAAAAUUCUAAAACGUUCUCUCGAGGGCCUUGGUACACAAUUUUUCCAUCGGACAAUAACACGACAUCAUCGAAUAGUUCGUAAGUCUCGGGUGCUGGUUGAAGGAGUGAUAUUAGUGCAGUUCCAUUUAGAAUGUGAACGAACUGUCUUAACGACUUCACGAUUUGGAACGUUGUGGAACUGUCCAAUCCAGUCGAAAUCUCGUCCAUGAAAAGAGCGUUCGUUGGACCAACCAGCAUUUCACCUAUCGAAUUAAUUAAUUUUUUUUUCUUUAAUACAAAAUUAAUAUCCAUUUCAAAAUAUUAAUGUACAAAAAUCAAAUUGAUUUUAUUCUAUUUUACCUGUCGUAACGCGUUUUCGCUGUCCCCCCGAAAUUCCCCUUACUAACUCGUCUCCGACCAUAGUAUCGGCGCAAAUCUCGAGGCCUAAAAUCUGCAAAGAACAUAUUUGUAAAUUGUGAUUUGAAUUUUCUUUUUUCUUUUUUUUUUUUUUUUUUUUUUUUGCAAAUUUGAAAAAGUUAAGGAUGUUAUUAUACCUUGAGAAUAUAAUUUGUCAUUACACUUGCUUCUUGUCCUUGUGUCGAAACAGCCUGCAUAGUCGAGUUACUUCAGAUUUCUCCGAAAAUCAUAGAAAAUAUUUACAUAUACCUUCAAAUUAAUUAAAAAAAUAAAUAAUUAAAAAAAUUAAGUAUUUACCUUCAUGAAGAUAUCAAUAUCAGGAUCAGGUUUAAUAUUAGCAUUUUUUUCUCUUAUUGCCAAUUCAGACAACAUUUCUGCAAAUAUGAAACACCACAAACUUGAUCAUAUGCUAAUAAAUAAAUUUCAAAAAAAAAAAAAAAAAAAAAGAUCGACUAUUGACUGACCGUAGCGAGAUCCAACACCCUGGCAUCGAGCUGAAAAUUCGAGAGUUUCUCUGACAGUCAUUUCUCCGAUAUGAACAUCGUAUUGGCUAAUAUACGCCGCAGUUGUUUGUGGUACAAACUCAUUCAUUCCAUACCCAUUAUAAGUCACCUUUCCAGCAAACUAUUAUUGUCAUAAAUUAAUUAGUAUUAAUAUAUGUAUAUAUAAUAUUGCUCUUAAAUCGAAAUUCGAAUAAAUUAAUUAAUUAAUUUAUUUAUUUGGCAAGAAUAUAUAACUUAAAACCUUCAAAGAAGAAUUCAAUUUUCCAGCCAAGGCCAACAAAAGUGUUGUCUUUCCUGAGCUUGGAGGGCCUAGCAGCAACGUCAUUCUUGAAAAAUGGCACAUCGAAAAAGUUAAAAAUCUCGACGAUUUUUUUUUGUCGACUAAAAAAAUUAAUUUAAUAGUGAUGAUAAUCAAAUUAAUUUUAAAUGUAAAUGAAAUUCAUCAAAAUUGCAUCUAUAUAUAUCCACCUGCAUGGCUUGAUGAUUCCACUAACAUUCUGCAAAAUAGAAAUAUUCUUCUUCUUGCUUGGAAUUAUAUGCAAAUAGUUCAAAAAUCCCUAUUGAAAGAAAAUCAUGUACAAGUUAGAUUAAAAUUGAAUAAAUUAAUUAGUCAUUUUUAUUAGUAAAUAAAUAAAAAACUUGAUAAACUAUAUAAACCUGCAAUGUGUUAAUAAAGGAGUUAAAAAACGUCGGCAACGAUCGGCUCCCUACGUAAGCUUCCGCACCAACAGUUAGAUUCUCGAAUCUCACUUCAAUUGUGGGUAGUUCAAUUCCAACUCUAACCAAAAAAAAAAUACGACAAAAUAUAAUAUAAAAACGUCGAGAAAAUGAAAAAAAAAAUUAAAAGAUCUGUUUUGAGGUUAUUAUAUUAGUACCUGUCAAUCCGGUCUCUAAGCUUCGACAGAAACUUUUCGUUAUCUUCAUCGACGUCUUUUAUAAGCCUAUCGAGAAGAUCUUUUCGUUCUUGAAAUCCGAGUUUUCUUGCAUCAACUUCACUAGUGGCCCCACUUCUUGAUGCUCCUACUAAUAGAAGUCCCUUUUUCAAGCGAUCGUAAGUCGAGAGUUUUUCGAGCGCGGCCAAUUUUAGUGCUUCUUCGUCUUCUUCUUCGUCUUGUUGUCGUGUUGAGUUCGAGAAUAUUUCCAAGCCGUUGUUCCUCCAAAAGGACGAACUGUUGGCUCUAAAGCUACUACUUGGCUUGUAAAUUUCACUCUCUUGAUCCAUAUUUUUUUAUGAUCAAUAGAAUUCAAAAAAAAAAUGAAUAUGCAAAACUACUUGAAUAAGGUAUAUAUAUAUAUAGAUAAAUAAAUCUUGGAUAUUUAGCUAAUUACACAACAUGUGACAGAUUUGCAUGCAAAUGCUCUGUGACAACAUUUAUUUAUUUAUUUUUAUUUUAAAAGGAUUUUGAGUUCUUGAAGUGAAAUUGAUGAAGGAAAGAUAAUUAAUAUCUGCCAAAAAGUCUUGGUUGACCUGGAUUGAAGGGUAAUUUUUGUGUCCUUCCAUCUACAAGUUGUUUGUACAUCUAUUAAAGGGGAAUUGAAUGGCUAAUUAAUCAAAAUUUACUCAAUUUGUACCGAAAUAAAAUAAAGGAUAAAUUCUAUUUUUCCCCCUUAUACUUUGGUUCGGUAUCACUUUGCCCCUUUCUACUCUCAAUUGCAUCGAUUUGCCCCUAGACAUGGCCACGGGUCGGGUCUGACCCGGACCCGGCCCGGACCCGACCCGUUGACUGACCCGCCCCGCCCCGGACCCGGCCCGUUGACCAUGGACCCGGACCCGGACCCGGCCAAGUAAGGGUCGGUUUCGGGUCCCAACUUCUUGGACCCGAGACCCGCCGGGUCUACCCGGCGGGUGGACCCGAAGAACCGGACCCGAGGGCCCGGCCCGAGGACCCGUCGGGUCCACCCGGAUUUUUAAUGAAAUAAUCACCAAAAAUGCACCAACUGGGGAUCGAACCCGGGUAGCCCGAGUGAUUCACUGAACACUAACCACCAGGCCAACCAAUAUGUUUGAUUAUAUAUAGACAACAAAUGUAUAUAAUAUAAACCUAUGGCGUAAAUGAUAAAUAUGUUAAAUAAAUUAUUAAUUUUCAUAUUAAUUAUUAUUAAAUAAUUAACAAAUGCAAUAUAAGAAAAAUAUAUAUAAUCACAAUUCAAUACUUCAAAACAUCUAUUAUUAAUUAAUAUAUCAAUAUAAGCUCCACUGUUGAAAAAUAUAAAGUAUUGAAUCAAUUCAAUAUAUAAACAAAUGCGUUGACUUAUUAAAAAUUGACUUAUGUUAUUAAAAUCGAUAGUGUGAAAAAAUCGAAUGAAAAAUAAAAUAAUAUGUUUAUUUUAAAAAACAAAUUAUAACCCAUUUCAAUUAAUUUAAGUCGAUUAACCUCAAUUGUUGACAAUAACUUAUUAAUAUUAUUGAGUAUUUUAUCAUAAGAUAAUUAUUUAUAUAAAUGGUGUUUAUUUUAACAAAAAUAGAUUAUAUCCCAUUUCAAUUAAUAUUCUUACUUUAAAAAUAACAUUAUAUAUGACUAGUAUAAUCAAAAUAUUAUGAUGUAAUUUCUCUUUUAAUAAUUGAUUUAAUUUGUAAUUAAAAUCGUAGGAAUUAAAUUGUAGACCAUAUGAUUUAAUCGUUUUUUUACAUAUACAUUUUAUUCAAAUAUUAGAAUCGAAUCGUAAGAUUUAAAUGGAUUAAUCUAAAGUCCUUUUAAUUUUGAUAUUAUAUUUGUUAAUAAUGUAAUUAAAAUGGUUUAAUAAUUAUGAAUAUGAAAAUUAACAAUGCAUUUAACAUUAUUUAAUCAUUUCAUACUGUUUUGUUUAUGUUUAUCUAUAUUUCUUGCAAGUAAUUUCACAAAUAUUUAUCUUGUCUAAGUGGUUUGGAAUUCUUUUCAAGUGUCUUGUGACCCGGGUUCGAAUUCCAUCCAUAACAAUUUUGGACAAAAUUUAAAAAUCCGGUCCGGACCCGGACCUGGCCCGGAACCGACCCGGAACCGGGUGGACCCGAGUGGACCCGGCCCGGACCCGGACCCGCCUUCCCGCGGGUCGGUUUCGGGUCCUCCAAAACUCGGACCCGGACCCGGCGGGUCCGACCCGGAACCGGACCCGACCCGACCCGGGGCCAUGUCUAUUUGCCCCCAUGUACUUGAAAAAUUGUGUCAAUGUGGCCCUUGCCAUUAGUUAUUAGACAUUUAACAUUAACACCGUUUGAUCUAAAUAUGAAAAUUAUAAAAAAUUCGCCCCUCCCAGUUUAAAUAAUUAUUAAAAAAAAUGAAAAAUUUAAGAAAAAAUAAAAAUAAAUUGUGGUUGUCGUCGUGGACUAUGCUUUCUCGUUGUCUUGAAUUUUUUUUUUCUCUAUUUUGUUCUUUAAUAAUUAUUUAAGAUGGGGUCAAAUGGUGUUUUUGUAAUUUCAAAACUUAGACCAAACGGUGUUAGGGGUCAAAUGUCUGACAACUAACAACGAGGGCCACAUUGAGACAAUUUUUCAAGUAAGGGGGGCAAAUUGAUGCAAUCAAGAGUAGAAGGGCAUAAAGUGAUAUCGAGCUAAAGUACAACGGGGGAAACUGGAAUUUACCCUAAAAUAAAUUAGUGUGAUUUUAUUUUAAUUAAUUGUCACUUUUUGUUACAAUGAUGCAUUAGUUUGCAAUUUUAUCGGUUUUAGACUCUCUUUGUUUCAAAUAAGUGUCGUUUAGAGUUGGUGUACGCAUGUUAAGAAAACUAAUAAACGCGCAAGUUUUAUAAAAAAAAAAUAGUGCGACUGAAGUACCCUCUCAUUAAAAGAAAAGUUUUGUUUUUCUUUCAAGUAACUAAAAGUAAUAAAGGCAUCAUUGGAAUUCUGAAAUGACAAAUAAUAUGGAUUGUGGAAUAAGAAAAAAUUCUACAAAUUGAUAGAUAAUUUGGAAAUCGAAAGAUAAUUAGUGGAUAAAUUGAUCAGAAAUUUAGUACGUUUUCCUCAAGUCUUUGCAUAUCAAAUAUUUUGACAUAUACAGAAUACUCCCUUUAUUUCUAACUAAUUAUUUAUUUUCACAUUUGCACAAGUGUUAAGAAAUUCAAUAAAUGCGACUUGAUUUUAGUAAAAAAAAUUCACAUAAAAAAACUAAAAUAACCUUUAUUAUUUAAUAAUUUAUUAGAGAUGUUUAAUUUUCACAAUUGAAUCAAUAAGAUUAAAGCAUGAAAACAUAUAUUUAAUGCAAUAUAAAAUUGUAAAUGUAAAGUGACAAAUAAUAUAUAUUAAAAAUAUUUUGCAAAAGUGACAGCCGUUGUGGAACAGAUGGAAGUAACAUUCGAUCCCGAAAUCUAUGAUUUAAUAGGGGUAGCUAGGAUUUUAAUUAGUAUUAAGUUUUAUUCAUGAUUAUAGCAUUGGCAAAAAGAAACGUAAAGCAGGUAUUAUUGCAGCCCCCUCUUUCUAAAUGAACGAUUUUGAAGUUGACUUUUUCCAAACAUGUGAAAUUAAAUCUUUGAAUUUGAGGGGGGCGGCGGUAGGGGUUGGGGGUAGUGGAUGUUGAGUUUAAUUAUUUACGAAUAUCCGCUUCCAGAUUAGAUGAAAUUAUCUUCCAAAUUCGACAAAAUUUAUUCUUAAUAAUCAUAAGAUGGGGUGAAAAAAAUGUUAAAACGAUAUUUAAAGUCUUAAAAGACGAAAUUACCCUUCCAAUUUACUCAAAUUUGAUAGAAUUAGACCGGAAAUACACAUUUGGGACAAAGUGCAUCAAGUUGUAUAUUUUGAAUGGGGAUAGUCUCGAUUUUGUAUUUUUGAGGUGGGAAAUGCAAAAAAAACGUUUUUUUCAAGGGGAGAAGUGCAAUUUACCCUAUUUAAUAUGUAAAAUAAAAGUUUUAACUUUUUGGAUUACUACGGUUGGUCGGUUUGUUAUCACUUAUCUCUCAACAUUUACUACAAAGGGUAUUCUUUGUCCACGUAGAAGUAAAAAGAAAAAUCAAUUUUUUAAGGUCAACGGUCAAAUUGAAAAUCCAUACUAUUUUUUGUUCCACGAGCUAUGAACCACGAUUCAAACUCAAUUUGAACAAGAAAAAAGAAUAUGAAAACAAAAAAUCAAGCAACUUGACCUCGACUCGAUUGCGUAUCAAAUCAAGUUCAAACACAUCUUUAAAAGAUCGAUAAAAAAAAAAAAAUCAAACAUGCAUUCUGCUCGAUUCAAUUCGUCUACACCCUUAUUUGUCAGUAGUUAAUCUUAUGAGAUGGGGGUUUAAAAAUAAAUUAUAACUCGAGUUUUUGUAAUACAAUAAAAACAGAUGAUUUUGUGAUGUAAAUUCUUUUAAGAUUAAAAUCAUAAGAAAUAUCAAUAGUGGAUAGAAUUGAAACCAUAGCACAUGAAAAAAAUGUGCAGAUAAUUAAUUAAACAUUAAUUUGCUUUGUCCGCAGAAAAAUGUAGAUAGAGAAAGGACAUAAUUAAAUAGAAUGUGUAAUUUCAAGAAUGCCGACUAACCUAAAAAACGUUUAUAGCAUGCAUAGAUAGAUUAGGAUAUUAGAACUGCCUAACUUAAAAGAUGUCACACCACUAUGUAUCUAGAAUCAUAUAUCUCAUUAAAUUGGACGGCACUUCCUUCAACUCAAGCUUUUAGAGAGAGAAAAACCGAACCGAAAUUUUGUGUAUGUGGGCCCCACCUAAAAAAAAUGAAGGGCCCACCUCUCUGGUGGACCGAUAAUACAAUUAGAAAUGAACACUAUUAAAAGAAGAGAAAAGUAGUCAUGAUAAGAUGUAUACCUAAUUAUUGCGAGGUUCGUAUUUACUAUUUAACUAGUGUUUGUACUCAAAAUCUAAUGUUUUAGCAUGAUUUCUAAUUUUAUUAUUAGAAUGUUUUAUUUUUUCUUCUGAAAAUCGUGUGAAUUGUAAGAUUUUUUAAAGUUUACGAAUUAUUUAACAAUUUGAAUCGAGAAGGGUUCGAUUUGAAUCGUAAAGUGUAUGAUUUCAAUAACCAUGGGACUAUUUAAAAUCUUACGAUUCCGUAUAUCGUACGAUUUUAAUAACUACGGGACUAUUUAAAAAAAAUAGAAUUGCGGUAAUAUUUUUAUAGUACUUUACAACUCCAAUUAUUUACAAUAGUAGGUUUUCGAGAAGUGAUGGAGUCAUGGCCCCUAUGGUCGUAUGUUUUGCACGUAGGAGUGGAAAUCGGAUGGAUAGGAUUGAAUUAGCACAUUCGAAAAAAAAAUUCAAUUUUCGGGAGCUGAAAAACUAAUUCCGAUUCUGCUAGAGAAAAAAUGGGAAAAGUGAAAACUGUAAUGGAAAAACUUGUUCCAAAAUCAAAAAUUUUAGGAUUGGAAUAGGAGGAAUUCAGAAAAUUCGAAUAUGUUGUAACCUAAAAUGUAAAAUACAUAAUAAUUUUGAUAUUAUAAGUGUAUUUUUUGGGAUUUAACGUCAGAUCGAAAAUCGGGAUAUCAUAUAUAUUCCAAUUCCAAUCUAAAAAAAAUCGGACAAAUCGAAAAUCGCAAUAUUCAGAAUUCGGAAUGAAAAAUAUUGUUCCAAAGUUGAAAAUUUUCAGAUCGGAAUCGGCGGAAAUCAGAAAUUUCAUUCCAAUUUCCUCGCGUAACUGCACUUUAUUCUCUGACAAUGGAAUUAUAAUCAAGAACCAGACAAUAAUUAAUUAACAAAAAGAUUUAAAAAAAAACAAGUAAUUAGAGACACUAAUCCAUAACAUUGAUAACUCACCCUCGUUGGAGGAUUAAGAUAAUUAAUCUCAAUUAAUCACUGUCUCUCCGUAAUGUAGAAUCUCCGUUUACGCCAGAUGCCAGCUCAGCUUCGAACGAGAGAGACGACGGCAGUCUCUCGUAAACUCUCGAGCCCAAAGGCAGAAGCUUCGCCUGCCUCGCAACGAGCUUCCCUCUAAGCUUCUCGUAAUUCCACCUCUGCUGAACAUAAACAAUUAACGCUAAAAGAAUCGAAACAAUCGGAAUAGCAAUGUCGCCGAAUUUGGAAUAGAAAUCCGUUCGAAGGUCCGCAAACUCGUAGUCGUUGGAGUAGUUAUAAGGAUUACUCGGGAAAGGCGAUUUUACGAAAUCGUACGCGUGCGGAAAAAUCCGAACCAAUGUUAGUCCAAUGUAGUACAUUUUCCUCAGGGGCUUAACUUGGACCAUCCAUAGCAAGUUCCCGAUUACUUGCGGAAGAAGGAAGAAAUCUUGCAUCAAACCGACGUACUCCGCCAGCUCAGCCUCCCAUGCGCUGACGGGGCGAGAGUAUUCGUUAGAAUCUACAAAAGAUUCACUUUGACGAGGGUCGUACCUCGAGGUUUUAUAAUGCACGAUGAGAGCGAGUAUAUAUCCAAGAAUGUGUACAAUUGAAGUAGCGAAAAGGACUUUUUUGUCAUUUGGGACUCGGUGCGGCUCUAACGGGGAUCUAGUCAGCAUUCUUACACGGGAUUUCCAUACUUUCUGACAAAGCCUCAUAGUCGACAAAAACGCAAUCAGCACUAAUAAUUUCACCAUAUAGUCGAUGACAAGAAACGGUUGGCCUUUCUGCAAAUUUUCGAAUCCCGUUUUUGCCUUUUUUCCGAAAAGGUCUUCGGCCCCCGUAAUCAGCGGUAGGCCGUAGCUAAUCGCUUGUACUCCAAGCAUCACGAGCGAUACGUACGGGACAUUUACGAUAUUACCCCUCACGUAAAAAAGCUGGGUCGAUAUACAUCCGAUAGCCAAAGACAGCGUCGCAAUGCGGAGGAUCCCUUCCACGCCCCGCCUCGAAAGAAUAUCCUCCCAUUGAUUCCUGUACAAAACGGGGGCCGUAUGGAUUUUAAUCGGACUAAAAUAAAGAGGGUCGUCUUUUUCCCGUUGACUGAUCACGGAAACUUUGGCGGUGGGGUCCACCAGCCAACGGUCAGUGGUCGGGGGGUAGGAAAUUACGACUUCGACCUUACAAUCGAGCCCCUUUUCCGCGAGGGCCACACAACCAAUAAGAUACAUUUUCCCGAAAAGUGGAUUGUAGAUUCCCUCUACGGAUAUCGAAGAGUAGUUGUAUGCGUCGAUUCCAACGAGAUUUAUCUGAGCCGACACAUUAAGAAGCGGCGUCGGAUUAAAAGAAAUACUACCCUUCUGAUUAGAAUAACCCUUCUGAUUAGAAUAACGCCCGAAAAACGGGCCGAUUGUCAGUAUCUGGAUUUGCAAUUGGAUAUUUAUCCAAGACCUCCGAAGUUGGUCCGGUACAGCUGUCAUGAGAAGCGUCAGAUCUUCGGACAGAACCGAAACGCUGUAUGGAAGAUUCUCUUCGGUGUUCUCUAAUUUCGGGAAUUUCAAGAAAGACUUUUUCACUGCGGAUUGGAUUUUAGAAGGCUCGUACUUCUCGAGUACUGACGUGGCGGCUUCGAUCUUCGAGUACUCGUAGUGGGCCCCGGAGCUCCACUGCUCAGUGGACUCCACGGGCUUCUCGAACGCUAAAGGGGAGUACGAUCUGACCGUCGGAUCGAUGCUCGAUAGAGUGCCCGAGAACACGCUCCUCUGUUUUAUCGAAAACAAGAGAGGAACAUACAUAGAUAUACGAGUGUGACAUAUGUUAUCGUACGGUGAGCAUGCGACCAUGCAGAGGCGCCCCGUCUUAGGAUACCAUGCACCCUCAGCGGAGAGGGUCAUGCCGUUGAGCCCCGUACGUUGCGUCGCGGAGUAGAGCUGCUCCGAGGGGGGUACCGCUCGGAAAACCGAGGACACCCUCGUCUUCGACGAAGUAGUGUUUUCGCACCGUACAUCAUGAAAAACGAGCUUCACGUUUUUGAAUCCCCCAUUAGUGAAAUCGAUCUCCUUGCUCGAUACGAACGGACCCAAUUUACUACAAAACUCGUCCGUCCCAUUGCAGUUAAAGUUCGGUAAAACGGUGAAUUGUUCUGUGAAUUGUUCUUGACGGGAGAAUCUAUCGAGCACCCCACAAAAGUCAACCCCUUUGUACACAUCAUCAACAGUUUCGAUUUCAUCACUCAUCGAAUCGCAAGCCCUCGACACGAGAUCAUCGGAAGCGAACUUAUAGUUCGCGGACCCCAACGAGGAGGAAACAAGAACUUCGUCGAAGUACUUGAGGUCCGAUUCUCGGUUCAAACUCUUGAUGCUUCCGUAUAUUUCUCUAGUCCUCAAACUCAACGCCUUAGGGUAACGGAGCUCGAAUAGAAUCCGGUCGUCCGGCGCGAGAACCGGAUGAAUACUAUCGCCGUUUUCCUUAACCCACGGCCACGGAUCGUUCGAGUGGGGCCCACGCGAAGGCAGCACCGCACUCCCCAACAAACACAUUACUCUCUCUCCCCCCAAUUCAGUGUAGACUCCUUGGAACCGAAUCGACAGCUGCGAGUUUCCGGGCCACAUGUCGAAUUUCGGGGUUUCGUCGUCGGGUUUCUGGAGGAGCAUGUUUGAUAUGGCUGUGCUGAUCUGUAAGAACCCGCUAACGGGUAUGGAUUUCUUGGAAUAACGGUGAUUCGGGUCAACAUUGGUGACCCAGAACGAGACCAGGUUUAAUGAGUUAACGGCGUUUUUGUAACCCGAAAGGUCUCCGUCGUAGAACGGCAUCAAUGGAGCAAAAGCUCGACCCGACCCGUUUGAGAGCGGCUGCCACCAAUCGCCGUUCGAGAAGGAGAGUUCCUCUUUGAUGGUGUACAGUCUGCUGUCGUCGGGUUUGAGUUCCUCGGCGGAUUGUAAGAGAGAGGCGCACUCUUUGUUAACCUCACCCAUGCGGUCAUAGUUGUAGGUGACGGUACGCUGCUUGUUUCCGUUACCGUCGAAUCCGCCGACGCCAUUGUUUGCAUAGUUGUACGAGUUCGCGAAACCGAUGCAUAGCAGCAACACAAACAGAGUACACGAUGUUGCAGAAUUUAUAGAACACGUCAUAGUAAUAAAACAGUUUGAAUAUUGCUGUCGGAAUUUCUCCGGCAACAAUGAAAGUGAAGUGAUUUCUCAGAUUGCCCACAAGAAUUGAAAUAAAAAUGAAAUCUUUAGAACAACCCAGAUAAAAGAUUUUUGACGAUAUUAGACUUACCGAGAAAUUAGUGGGAGUAAUUAGUGGGAUCAAGAUUCGAGAUUUUUGGAAGAGAAGUGUUGGAUGUUCAAAGUCAAAACGAUUCAAUUUUAAGACAAGUAUGGUGAUUUUAGUCAACGUGCCAGUUCUAAUUUUCUUUAUUUGGGUAAAUUACGCCCACACCCCUGAAAUAUUGGUAAUUACAGUCAUACCCCUGAAACAAUUAUGGGAGCCAAGAUUUCGAAUCUUGGGGUCUGAUAUGAACUAUAUUUGUUUUCUCUAGCGCCGUUAAGUCUACCAUAGAAGAAAAUUUAUAAAUCUUAUAUAAAAUAAUAAGAAUUUAAGAAAUAUUGUGAUCAUUGUUCUGAAACUAGUAGUCCGUUAGAAGCCUAAUGUAUGCUUUUCUAACAAUGUUUUAGUGAUAAUUGUAAUUAUUGAUACUACAGGGAUCAUAAAGUUAUUUUAGCAUACCUCGGGGUGAAAGUGUGAUAUACCUUUUUUAUUUAUUAUUUAUUUUUUCUCUCCAUUUUUUUAAUCAUUUUCCUCACUCAUUCAUAUACACUUAACUUGGGAGUUGAGGAAUAUUUUAUGUUUGAUAGGACUAUCAUAUUGGGUAGUUGUACUUAAUGAGAGGUUACCCACAUUAAAUUAUAUAAUUAAUCUGGCAUCAAGCAAAUUGCAAAUUUAUUUAGUUCUGGAUCCAAUCUAAUUUUAUUUAAGGGUAAAUUCACUUUUCCCUUGUAUUUUGACUCGAUAUCAUUUCAUCUUCGUAAACUUUCAAUUGCUUGAUUUGCUCUCUUGUACUUUGGUUCGAUAUCACUCUACCCCUUCUACUCUUCAUUCAUCGAUUUGUCCACUUGUACUUUGGCUGAAUAUCACUUUACCCCAUUCUACUCUCAAUUGCAUCGAUUUGCCCUUCUACAUGAAAAAUUGUCUCAGUGUGGCCCUCACCGUUAGUUUUCAGACUUUUGACCUUAACAACGUUUGAUCUAAGUUUGAAAAUUACAAAAAAGUCACCCCUCCCAGUUUAAAUAAUUAUUAAUAAAAUAAAAUAAUAAUAAAAAUUGUGUCAAAGGUCUGACAUUUUAAUAAUUAUUUAAACUGGAGAGGUGACAUUUUAGUAAUUUUCAGACUUAAAUCAAAUGGUAUUAAGGUCUAAGGUCUGAAAAUUAACGGCUAGGGCCACAUUGAAACAUUUUUUCAAGUACAUGGGGCAAAUCGAUGCAAUUGAGAGUAGAAGGGGGUAAAGUGAUAUCGUACUAAAGUACAAAGGGGCAAAUCGAUGAAUUGAGAGUAGAAGGGGGUAAAGUGAUAUCAAACCAAAGUACAAGGUGAAAAAUCGAUGCAAUUGAGAGUGGGUAAAGUGAUAUCCAACCAAAGUAAAAUGGGGGGAGGGGGAGUGGAAUUUACCCUUUAUUUAAUCAAAGUCAAUUUUCAGGAAAAAUACAAAUUACAUCCCUCGAGUUUGUACCGAUUUCACAUUUGGUCCUCUAAUGUUCGCAUAAAAUACAUUUGGUCCCUCAUGUUUCAAAAAUUCAAAAUUUUUAGUCAAUUUUACGUUAGUAAUAACGGAAUCAAGCAUGUGUCCAACACUGUCUUAACCGACAGACUAACGGUAAAUUGACGAAAAUGACCAAAAUUGUUAAAUUAUUGAAACAUGAGGGACUAAAUAUAUUUUUUGUGACCUAAAUAUGAAAUUAGUGCAAACUUUAGGGAUGGAACUGUAUUUUUCCCUCAAUUAUCAUAUAAACAGGGGCAUACCCAUGCUUAUGGCUGGGGUGGGCCCCCGCCCCCCAAGAUUUUUUUUAAGCUGUUUUUUUUUUCUUUGGUAUUUAUGUAUUAGUUAAUGCAUUUUCGCCCCUCCAAACUUUUAAUUUUGUACACUUUAGUCCUCAAAAACAAAAACAAAAUCCUCUCUUAAAUUACUCCUAUAUUUCAGCCCCCAAGAAAAGCCCCCUAAGUCCGCCCCGCAUAUAAACAUAUUUAUGUAUGUGCUCAAGCAUAUACAAGUUCAGAAAAGAUUCCUAUUUUAAACUGGGCCUCUUUGAGAAAGCCCCCAAAUUACUUUUUUUAAUUGGGAGAGGCCCAAAUUAUUUUUUUCCAUUUGAGAAAAACCCUCACCCAUUUCUAACCACCUUUAUUUCCAAUUUUGACCCCGCCCACUCCACAUCACCAGCCCGCUCCACGCUCAUAAGCCUUUUCUUCUUUUCCUUUUUUCUUUUUUUUUUCUAUUUUUUUUUUGUAGUUUUUUUCCGAGUCAGUUUUAUUAAUCGACUAUGAAGCAUAGUCGAUUAAGGAAGCAUAGUCGAUUAAGGAAAUAUUUUAAUUUUUUUUUAUUUUUUUAUUUUUUCUAAUUUUGUUUUUAAAUUUUUUUUCGUUUUUUUUUUCUCUAUCGGGUGUAUUAAUGCAUAGUCGAUUAAAAUUGUAACUAUUAAAAAUAACAAAUCACAAUUACAAAAAAAUGCAAAAUCAACUAUACUUAAAAAAAAUAUACAAACAUUGAAAUUGAUUUAUACAUUUGAAUCAAUAAACAAAAAAAAAAAAUAAAAUAACAACUGGAGUCGGUUAACCUUAAUCGACUAUUGAACAUAGUUGAUUAAACCACAAGUAGUCGAUUAAGGGCCCUGCCUACGCGAAUUUCUUUUUCUGCGCCGUCUUCCGCCACAAUCCACCAAAAACCCUAGAUCUGCUAUUCAUCGUCACCACGUCGUCGCCACACCACACCAUCACCACCCCACUUCCUAUAAAAACAAUCAAAACAGAACCAUGUACUACGGUCAAAAUCACCAAACCAAAGCCACCUAUAUCAAAAAAUAUGCAGCAAAAUUAGAUUAAAAAUCAAUAACAAAUAAGUACAAUGAAGCAAAACUACCUUGAGUGCGUAUUUUGCAGCCCCCGUACAACUCUGAAAUUUCUAUCUGCAAUUAGAUUCCCGAUCGAUCUCCAAUUUUCAAAUCUCAAACCAGAAACAACGGCAACUAACACUACUCCAGGAAAUCAAAACCAUAAAUAAAAAGUAAAUCUUAGAAAUAGAAGAACGUGCGCAUCUCCUCCGGUGUGGAGACUCCCCUCGAAGCUCCAAUCGCCAAACCUCCGCCCGCGCCGCCUUCUACCAUCGCCCCAUAGUCGGACCGCCACCAAACACACAGAUCAGAUCUACAAGAAGGAAAAAAAAAAAGAGAAAAAGAGAUGAGAGUGGGAAGAGAUGAAAAGAGAAAAAGAAAAAAAACGGCGUAAAACAUAAUUAGGGUUUUGAAAGAGUAUAUUGGACAAUUAAGGGUAAAUUUGGAAUUAUGAAAUAAUAUUUGGAUAGAAUAUUAGGUAAGGGGGUUUUAUCUAAUUAUUUUUGGGAGGGGUAUUUCUUUAACUAUAUUUCCUAGAUGGGGUUUUUUCUCUAAUUAUCCCUUUAAACUGAAACGACAAAGUAAUUAUUUUUCUACACAACUAAAAACAUCUUUGAUUUAUUUAAUUUUAUUUAUCAAAUAAUUCUUUUCAAUUUUGAGAUUGGUACGUGAGAAAGAAAAAUAGAUACACAUGAAGGAAAUAAGCUCCAUAGAUAGAUAGAUAUCUUCAUUCUUCACUUAUACUUAUUAGAUCAUCCAUAAACGAAGCUCGAUAAUAGAUAAUCGCGAUUUCGUAACGCGAUUAACUUAUCUCCUCUGGAAAUUCAAUGUCAUGACGGCAAACGCGAAAACAAACGCAAACAAAACUUCAAAUCCAGCGACCAUAAGAGCGACCACACCGAUAAAAUCGUGUCUGAAACCAAAGUAACUUGCCAAGAACUCUUGAACAGGUUGCUUCGUAAUUUCCAGCUCAUCUCUUACGUCUCCAAACUGUGACGUAAGUAAACCGUAAAGUGUCCUCUGUCGUGAAACAAUUACGAAAAGAAAAGAAAAAAAAGAAAUUCGAUUAGUCUUUCUUUCACUAUAUAUAUGUUCCUGUGGAUGGUAGUAGGAUGGUAGUAGGUACAGAAAUCGGACGGAUCGGAUCAAAAUUAGCAGUUUUGAAAAAAAAUUAUUUCUUUCUAAGUGAAUAAACUAAUUCCAAUUUCCUCGCCUAACUGCAUUUUAUUCACUGACUGAGAAAUUAUGAAUCACGCGACUACAAAUAGAAUCCGUGCUAUCGUACGAAGCCAAUGCAAUUAUAAUCAAGAAUCAGCCAAUAAUUAAUUAACAACAAGAUUAAAAAAAAAAAAGAAGCAAGUAAUUAAAAACACUAAUCCAUAACAUUGAUAACUCACACUUGUUGGAGGAUUAAGAUAAUUAAUCUUAAUUAAUGACUGCUCUCUGUAAUGUAGAAUCGCCGUUUACGCCAGAUGCCAGCUCAGCUUCGAACGAGAGAGACGACGGCAGUCUCUCGUAAACUCUCGAGCCCAAAGGCAGAAGCUUCGCCUGCCUCGCAAUGAGCUUCCCUCUAAGCUUCUCGUAAUUCCACCUCUGCUGAACAUAAACAAUUACCGCCAAAAUAACCGAAAAAAUCGGAAUAGCAACGUCGCCGAAUUUGGAAUAAAAAUCCGUUUGAGGGUUAAAAUACUCGUAUUCGUCGUUGGAGUAGUUAUAAGGAUUACUCGGGAAAGGCGAUUUUACGAAAUCGUACACGUGCGGAAAAAUCCGAACAAGAGUUAAUCCAAUGUAGUACAUUUUCCUCAGGGGCUUAACUUGGAUCAUCCAUAGCAAGUUCCCGAUUACUUGCGGAAGAAGGAAGAAAUCUUGCAUCAAACCGACGUACUCCACCAGCUCAGCCUCCCAUGCGCUGACGGGGCGAGAAUAUUCGUUAGAAUCUACGAAAGAUUCUCUUUGAUACCUCGUGGUUUUAUAGUGUACGAUGAGAGCGAGUAUAUAUCCAAUAAUGUGUAUAAUUGAAGUAGCGAAAAGGACUUUUUUGUCGUUCGGGACUCGGUGCGGCUCUAACGGGGAUCUAGUCAGCAUUCGUACACGGGAUUUCCAUACUUUCUGACAAAGCCUCAUAGUUGACAAAAACGCAACCAGCACUAAUAAUUUCACCAUAUAGUCGAUGACGUGAAACGGUUGGCCUUUCUGCAAAUUCUCGAAUCCCGUUUUUGCUAUUUUACCGAAAAGGGCCUCGGCCCCCGUGAUCAGCGGUAGGCCGUAGCUAAUCGCUUGCACUCCAAGCAUCACGAGCGAUACGUACGGGACAUUUACGAUAUUACCCCUCACGUAGAAGAGCUGGCUCGAUAUACAUCCGAUAGCCAAAGACAGCGUCGCGAUGCGGAGGAUCCCUUCCACGCCCCGUCUCGAAAGAAUAUCCUCCCGUUGAUUCCGGUACAAAACGGGGGCUGUGUGGAUUUUAAUCGGAUUGAAAUAAAGAGGGUCGUCCUUUUCCCGUUGGCUGAUCACGGAAACUUUGGCGGUGGGGUCCACCAGCCAACGGUCGGUGGUCGGGGGUAGGAAAUUACGACUUCGACCUUACAAUCGAGCCCCUUCUCCGCGAGGUCCACGCAACCAAUAAGAUACAUUUUCCCGAAAAGUGAAUUGUAGAUUCCCUCUACGGAUAUCAAAGAGUAGUUGUACGCGUCGAUUCCAACGAGAUUUAUCUGCGCUGACACAUUAAGAAGCGGCAUCGGAUUAAAAGAAAUACUACCCUUCUGAUUAUUAGAAUAACGCCCGAAAAACGGGCCGAUUGUUAGUAUCUCGAUUUGCAGUUGGAUAUAUAUCCCAGACCUCGGAAGUGGGUCCGCUACGGCUCUCAUGACAAGUUUCAGAUCUUCGGACAGAACCGAAACGCUGUAAGGAAGAUUCUCUUCGGUGUUCUCUAAUUUCGGGAAUUUCAAGAAAGACUUUUUCACUGCGGAUCGGAUUUUAGAAGGCUCGUACUUCUCGAGUAGUGACGUGGCGGCUUCGAUCUUCGAGUACUCGUAGUGGGCCCCGGAGUUCCACUGCUCAGUGGACUCCACGGGCUUCUCGAACGCUAACGGGGAGUACGAUCUGACCGUCGGAUCGAUGCUCGAUAGAGUGCCCGAGAACACACUCCUCUGUUUUAUCGAAAACAAGAGAGGAACGUACAUAGAUACACGAGUGUGACAUAUGUUAUCGUACGGUGAGCAUGCGACCAUGCAGAGGCGCCCCGUCGAAGGAUACCACGCACCCUCGGCGGAGAGGGUCAUGCCGUUGAGCCCCGUACGUUGCGUCGCGGAGUAGAACUGCUCCGAGGGGGGUACCGCUCGGAAAACCGAAGACACCCUCGUCUUCGACAAAGUAGUGUUUUCGCACCGUACGUCGUGAAAAACGAGCUUCAAGUUUUUGAAUCCCCCAUCAGAGAGAUCGAUCUCCUUGCUCGAUACGAACGGACCCAAUUUACGACAAAACUCGUCCGUCCCAUUGCAGUUAAAGUUCGGUAAAACGGUGAAUUGUUCUGUGAAUUGUUCUUGACGGGAGAAUCUAUCGAGCACCCCACAAAAGUCAACCCCUUUGUACACAUCAUCAAUAACUUCGAUUUCGCCAUUCAUCGAGUCGCAAGCCCUCGACACGAGAUCAUCGGAAGUGAACUUAUAGUUCGCGGACCCCAACGAGGAAGAAACAAGAACUUCGUCGAAGUACUUGAGGUCCGAUUCUGGGUUCAAACUCUUGAUGCGUCCGUAUAUUUCUCUGGUCCACAAACUCAACGCCUUAGGGUAACGGAGCUCGAGCAGAAUCCGGUCGUCCGGCGCGAGAACCGGGUGAUUACUAUCGCCGUUUUUCUUCACCCACGGCCACGGAUCGUUCGAGUGGGGCCCACGGGAAGGCAGCACCGCACUCCCCAACAAACACAUUACUCUCUGUCCCCCCAAUUCAGUGUAGACUCCUUGGAACCGAAUCGACAGCUGCGAAUUCCCGGGCCAUAUAUCGAAUCUCGGGGUUUCGUCGUUGGGUUUUUGGGGGAGAAUGUUUGCUAUGGUUGUGCUGAUUUCUAAGAACCCGCUAACGGGUAUGGAUUUCUUGGAAUAACGGUGAUUCGGGUCAACGUCGGUGACCCAGAACGAAACCAGGUUCAAUGGGUUGAUGAAAUUAUAGCCGUCGUAGUUGAAUGGCAUUAAUGGAGCAGCAGUUCGACCCGACCCGUUUAAUAAGCCCGGCUGCCACCAAUCGCCGUUCGAGAAGGAGAGCUCUUCUUUGAUGGUGUACAAUCUGCUGUCGUCGGGUUUGAGUUCCUCGGCGGAUUGUAAGAGAGAGGCGCACUCUUUGUUAACCUCACCCAUGCGGUCAUAGUUGUAGGUGACGGUGCGCUGCUUGUUUCCGUUACCGUCGAAUCGUCCGCCAUUGUUUGCAUAGUUGUACGAGCUCGCGAAACCGAUGCAUAGCAGCAACACAAACAGAGUACACGAUGUUGCAGAAAUACAACACGUCAUAAUAAUAAUAAUAAUAAAACAGUUUGAAAUUACUGUCGGAAUUUCUCCGGCAACAAUGAAAAUGAAGUGAUUUCUCAGAUUGCCCACAGGAAUUGAACUAAAAAUGAAAUCUUUAGAACAACCAGAUAAAGAUUUUUGACGAGAUUAGACUUACCGAGAAAUUAGAGGGAUCAAGAUUCAAGAUUUUUGGAAGAGAAGUGUUGAUGUUCUGUUCGUAUAGUCAAAACGAUUCAAUUUUAGGACAAGCAUGGUGAUUUUAGUCAACGUACCAGUUCUAAUUUUCUUUAUUUGGAUAAAUUACGCCCACACCCUUGAAGUAUUGGUAAUUACAGUCACACCCCUGAAACAAUUACAGGAGACAAGAUUUCAAUCUUGGGGUCUGAUAUGAACUAUAUUUGUUUUUCGUGGGGCCGUUAAUGAUACUACUUACGGAAAUUUAUAAAUCGUAUAUAAAAUAAUAAGGAUUUAAGAAAUGUUGGGGCCACUGCUUUGAAACUAAUACUCCGUUAGAAUCCUAAUAAAAUAACUUAUCUGACGUAUUAUUUUGUUAGAGUUUCUAACAAUGUUUUAGGGGUAAUUAUAACUAUGACAGAUGAAGAAGAAAGCUGAUGAACACCAAACCAUUCACCAUCUUUGGUUUUGAUCUCCAAACCGUCAACUUGGUUCUGAUGGAUUGUAGACAUAAAACUCUUGUCUGUAUGAGACACAAAUCCCAUGUUAUUUUCAUUCGACUUAGGUUCUCUAUAUUUCAUUACCCUGCAAAGAUAGUUUGCUGAACCGAUGAGGGAUUCGUAGUGCUUCCCCACUCCGUAUCUCUCGAACACCAUCUGCACGACAAUUUUCUCUAGUUCUGCUGCUAACUUUGUGUACCAAACGAGUUUCUCACUGCGCCCAAAAAAAAAUUGAGUUAUACGGUAGAACAUCGAUAAAUUAAUGAAAUAACAUCGCGUGAAUAAUUUAUUUGGGUCCCGACUCGGUAUAAACAUACUAAAAUAUUAGUUCAAUAAUUUAAUAUUUCACUAUAUUAAUAGAAUUUUGUUAGUCGCGACUGUAUUAAUUUAUAGAGGUUUAAUUGUAUCCAGGCUUUUGAUAAUGGAAAUAAUACAGGGAUUUUUUUUUUUUUGUAACAAUUGUAGUAAAUAUAGGGGAGUUAGAUGCUACAUCUGGUUACUUACACUGGGAGGAUUUGAAUCAUUGAUUUGAUUAAAUAAUUACCCACUGAACAAUGUGUGUAUGAAUAUGUGUAAAUCUAUGGUUCAAAUUCACUGACUGUAAAUAACCAGGUAUAGCAUUUAAUUUCCCGUACAAAUAGGGAUUCAGAAUGCGCGAAUGCGCAGAUAUAGUUACUACAAGCUAGUAAAACAUCCUUAAUUUAUCCUCAAUUUCUAGACAAGGAAAAUCAAAAGUACACUAAAAAUAUAAGCGAAAAAUGCGUACCUGAAAUCGUUAUUUCCAUUAGGCCACAUAACUUUGGCGAAAUUCUGGAUUCCUUGGAGGGUAUCGGCAUCAUCGAUACCCAUACUUUCGUAGAGAGGAAUGAAUGGGAUUUGGCCGACAUAGCCGUAUAAUGGCUUAGUGGAUUUGUUUUGGACUUUGGUUUGAGUUGGGAGAUCAAACAAUUCUUCUAGGGCUUGAAAAACUGUAGUGUGUGUUUCUUGGGUGAGUUUAUCAUAUGAUGCCACAAAACAACCAUAUUUUUCGAGUGCAGAGACCACUUCGUCGCAUGUUUUGGACCAUGAUUCUGUCCCGGGUUUCGAGUUCUUGUCUGAGAAUUCAAUGACAUCAAGUUUGUGUUCUUGUGAGAGAGAACCCAUAUGAUAGUUAGUGUGUGUGUGUGUGUGUGUGUGAGAGAGAGAGAGAGA
Molecule: long non-coding RNA, 65545 nt
Filed under: Erythranthe guttata (spotted monkey flower)
Lineage: Eukaryota; Viridiplantae; Streptophyta; Magnoliopsida; Lamiales; Phrymaceae
Description: long non-coding RNA (EGUT_LNC003399)
Source: RNAcentral